UGCGCAGCUCUCUUUGCUGCGCCCCUCCGCGUGGUCUGUGUUGGAGCAUUUUGGUCUAGUCAGGCUGGGUGUGGUCGGCCUCAUUUUGGAUUACUUCGGUGUGCUUCUCCUCGGCGUGGUUACGGUCUUGUACACCUUAGUGUGCUUUUCUCAGCGUGGUCCUUCCCAGCGUGGCUCGUCUCGGCGUGGUUUUCAUCAGCGUGAUCGUUCUCUGCGCGGUUUUUCACGGUGAGGUCAUAGCAGCCAGCCAUCCGCCUCAGCGUAUUUGUUCACAAUUCUUUUGGAUCUGCCUCUGCUCGGAUCACUUGAGCGCUGCGUCUCAGUCCCGAUCAGCCAUCCUCAGUGUGAUUUGCUCAACGCGAUCCUCCUCAGUGUUUCUUCGGAGCCUAGACCUCCACGGCGAGGUCGUCUCUUGUUUUGUCAUGGUGGUUGGCACUAUGGUCCGGUCUGCCUCAGCAAUCGGCUCACUUACGUGUGGAUCUUUUCAGCCCGGAUCACUCCAGCGCAAUCGGCUGCCUUGGCGCGUUCCACUUGGCUUCUCGACCUUUUUUGUAAGCCGGCCCGGUUCUCUCCGUUGGUUUUCUUCAACAUGCUUCUUUUCCCUCAGUGUGAUUCUACUUGGAGAGCUUUUCUGUUGAGUUUGGUUCUUCCUUUUCUCUGCAUGGUUCUCCUUGGUAUGUUUUUCUCUCAGCGUGGUUUUCUUCUCUGAGCAGUUUCCUCAGCACUGCACAGGUCGCAGGUCCGCGUGGCCGCGCUGAUAGCCUCCACGCGGCAAGCGCGCAAGGCUAGAAGCGGAGGCGAAUCUGUGCCGCGCAUUCCUGGCUGGGACUCCAUCUUCGUUUUGCCGCAGUGGCUCCAUACUCGUUUUGCUGCUAAGGCUCGGUCCUCGUUCCACGGCUGUGGCUCUGUUCUCGCUCCCCCCUCCCCCCCUCCGUGGCCUCGUCUCCGACCACAGCUCCAUUUUUGUGGCCCAGGCUCGCAGAAGCUGGGGUGGUCUUGAGGCCUUUUGAGCCCCGAGGUCGGUCGAGUCCCAGGGUGAUUGGCCUAGGACACCGGCUCUGGCCUUCGGGUUCUAAGCCCUGGGCUGAGUUGGAAUGCACUCCCCGGAGCUGAAACCAAAUCGGGCCUGGAGACUCCUGAGCUUUGCAGCCCGGUAUGACCAGCACCAAGGCUGGGAGUGGAUGGAGUACGCGUUGCUGUGUGGUGGCUAUUUUAAUGCUGAGAGUGAGGGGCUCCAUUUGGCAUGCCGGGGGGAAGGGUACCGCCGAACUGAGUCUGGGGAAGGCUGCUUAUUCAGAGUUUUGAGUUGAGUUGAGAUCUGGCUCUUGGAUCCGAGUUGGUGUGUGUAUGUGUGGGUCUACAGUGGUUCCAAGUCCAGAGUAGAGUCAUGAUUGGAGUUGGAGAGGGAUUCGGGCCUGGAGCCGAGUCAGAAUUCAGGUGUGGAGUACAACGUGGUUGAUUGGAAUCUCGGGGUGGAGGCCACAGUGGUUGCAGUGGUUCUCAACCUUCCUAGUGCUGUGACCCUUUAAUACAGUUACUCAUGUUGUGGUGACCUCCAACCAUAAAAUUAAUUUCAUUGCUACUUCAUAACUGCAAUUUUGCUACUGUUAUGAGUCAUUAUGUAAAUAUCUGUGUUUUCUGAUGGUCUUAGGUGAUUGCUAUGAAAGGCUUGUUCAAGCCCAAAGAGGUCACGACCCACAUGUUGAGAUCUGCAGGGUCAGAAUAAGAACCGAAUUGGGGACUAGCAGAACUGGGAGUUACCUCCAGAUUUUCAGUUGGAAUUUGAUUCCCUCCUGUGGUUUUGAGUUGAGAUCCAAGAGGUUCAGGUCCCUGUUGGGGACUGGACUGAGGGUUUCUAGUUAUAUUCAGGACCUGACUUGAGAGUACAGUAAGAAUUAAAGUUGGUUUUGAGUGUGAACACAAUGUGGUCUGAGUUAGGGAUCAGGACUGAAGUAUAAAGAGUCUGGUUUUUAACAAGUGGGAAUCACAUUUUGAGAAAUGGGGGAUAGAAAUCUUUGUCCCAUGUGGGCCAGAGUUGAUUUAAAAGACCAAGGCCAGGGCUCAAAUCUUAGUCCUCCAUUUUGUUCUUCUUGCUGGUCACAUUCCCUUUUCUGUAAAAUGGGGAUGAGUGCUUUCCACUGGAACCUUUCUGGCAUAAAAGGGAGUAAGUAAUUAUUCAUCGAGGUAAAAAUACUCUUCUCUUAUAAUUAUUAAAAAGUAUAAAAGAUUUCUUAAUAGUAAUUUCUCAAUAGUAAUAUUGAGAAAUAUUACUAUUUAAAUAAUAUGUUAAAUGCACAAAUAAUAUGCAUUCAACAGUCUUUUCUCAUUUGGCGUGCCCAUUGUUAGUCACUACCAAAAAGUAACGUUUUCUGUCCUGUUCUCUAGUGGUGGCCCCCACCCAGCCACGGCCUAAUACACAGCCAUCCUCAGGCAAUACUGUUGAAGGAAAGCAGGCAGGCAGGAUUACCCAGAUUUCUACGGUGUCUCAAAUGAUCCAUUUCUGCACCUGUUUUCCAGAUACUUACUAGGAGAAAAAUUUAAAGGAUUGGAUUGCUUGAUUAUGGUUCUGUUUUAAUGUGUUACCAAACAUACUGAAGAAAAAAGUGGAUCUGUUUCGGGGUUUAUGCUCCAGCUAGAAGGAUCUUUUAAAAUUGCAAAUCAGAGCAUGUUCAGAUUCAAAUAAGGAGAGCACAAAUAAAGAAAAUUAUGAGGCACUUCCCUGGUGAAUAUAGAUGAAGGUCCAUGUACAGUAUUAACUAACUGAAUCCAACAGAAUUUUAAACAACAGUUCUUAGACAAGUGGAAUUUCUCCUUGGAAUGUAAAGAUGAUCCAAUAUCAGAAACUCUAUCCAUGUAAUUCACAGUAUUAAGAAUCUGCAGAAGAAAAACCAUAUGGUUUUCUCAAUGGAGGCAGAAAAUUUAUAUGAUGAAGUUUGACGCCUAUGUAUGCAUUUGAGGGGGCUGGAAGGACAUUACUUAGGAAGCCAAAAACUAGAAGAGAACUUCCUUAACAUGAUACAGUGUAUACCCAAAUUUAACUUUUCAGUAAACUUGAGGGAGAAAUUGUAUUAUUCCUGGUAAGAUAAGGAACAGGCCAAGGGUAUUAUCCUAGCCACCUCUUAAUGCAAGAGGUGGAGAUGUGAGGCUCCUGUGGCAGGAAGAGUGAAAACAAAUUACUUAGAGAUAAUAGUAUUAUUUGUAUUGGGGUUUGCAAACAUUUUGAUGUUACAGCCUUUGUGCACUUAAACAUUAGUAAGCCCCCCUCCCCAAAUUUAUUUAAGAUGGACUAUAUUUAUUGGUAGUUAUAGUCUUAGACAUUGAAAUUAUGUGCUUAAAAACAUUAAAAUUAUGUGCUUAUACAUAAAGCUGUAUAAGCACAUAUUCCAGUGAGGUCAUAUCUUUGGAAAACUGACUUUGUGAGAGUCAAAAUAGAGAAGGCAGAUGAGGUCUGAGAAUUAUAGAGAUACACUUAUUCCUCAGACUUUCUGGGACCUUUCCUAAGAGGAUCUGAGAAGGCUUCUUGAGAAUUUCUUUGGACUUUUCUUUGAAAACUGCUGAGCUACCUGAAAGACAAGGUUUUGCAGCAGAAGAAAUAUGUGGAUGUAUACAGUAUAUCCAAACAAACAAACAAACAAAUUAAGAAAACCCACACUUCUUUAUAACAAUAGUGAUUUAAAAGAUGUAAGAAGUACACUCAGAUACAGAUUAGAAUAGUAACAAGAUUGUCCUGGUCUAAACAUUUUUUUUUUUUUUUUAAAGAUGAUGUUUAUGGGAAAGCUGUAAAUUCCCGUUGGAGAUAAAGGAAGGUACUUGGAUGUGCAGACACAUCCGUUUUCUUGGAUGGGAAAAGUUAGCAUUAGAAACCUCAGUAUUUUGCAAAUCUAUAAAUUUAGUUAGAUUGCAGUCAGACCUCUAGUUGGAGGGUUUAACAUUUCUUCCUCAAAAAUGUAUGUGGAAGAAAAAGAUGUCCAAACGCCAAGUGAACUUUGUAAAACAUUCCAUGGCUCAGCAGCCAGAAGGGUGGACUGACAGAGACCCAGAACAGGGCUCAGAGAGCUCAGCCCUGAGUCUGGGGAAGGUGACAUGUGAUCAAAGUGGCACCACAUAUCAGUGGAGCCUCCUUGGAAGAUGUUAAAAAAAAAAAAAAACAAGUAGAAGAGAAACAUCUUGUGGACUUCGGGGUCCUUAGGAAACAGGGAGCUCCAAGCUGGAAAGUAAAAGGUAGUUGCUAUUUGUUUAGUAAGAAAAACUACAGAGAAUAUUUUCUAGGGUAGUAUGGAAGUCUUAAGCAGGACAAGUCUCAAGACUAAAAUUUAUAAACCUUGAAUCAGUGAUGCAAAUUAAGGAUUCCUAUGGAAGAAAUCCACCAUGGCCAGUGCCACUAUUUCCAUAAUUGAAAGACAUGAUUUACCUUGUUAUCCUUUCACAUGUGUAAUUCUGCCCAUGACAAAUUACAAGAUAAUCGGAACACUAAAGCCAGGGAGCAGCAGCUAAGAUGAUGCAAAAUCAGAGAAAGGUAAGCCAGGAAACUUGCAGUAGGGCUAAACCUGCAGUAGGGCUACCAGUAAAGAGGUGCUCAGACUUAAGUCACCAGAGAAACGCAAAGUGACAUUGAUUUAUUUAUUUUUUCUGAGAAGCCUUAGAAAGUAGGAUAAUGCCAAGUGUUAGCAGAAGGUAGGGAGCAAGUUUCCCUGCCUGCCGCAGGUGAGAGGGGAGACCGACACAGACAUUCUAGAAAGCUGGCCAGCAUUUUUUCCUCAAAUAAAAUAUUUUAUACCUGCGGCGCAACAGUUUCCCUACUGAGUAAACAUGCUGGAGCAGUUCUCCCCCAGAACAAGGAGAGGCUGUGUGUGCCUGCUCAGCGCAGCAUGGCCUGGGGGUGGUGGGGUGGUGGGCAUUUGGCUCCGGUUGCUGUGGGUAGAAGCAGGGGACUAGAUGUACACUUCACAAGAUGGAAAUGCAUGGCAACGGUGCUGAGUGACACAGACAGCAAACAGAAGGAGGGUUUCAGUCCCUGCCUUGGUGUUUCAAUUCAAAUUACACCCCUUCCAGACUUGCGCUAACAGAGCAUGCCAUCCAUACGUACAAUGAUAAAAAUAAGCUACCCAGAGCAGCUGUCUGAGUGGAAGGGAGUAGGGGAUUACAGGAUGGAGAUAGGAUGCAAAAGCACGGAAGGAGCAGAGUGGGACUUUUAAACAGACCCUUCCUCGGUAACCAUUUUAUGGGCCAAAGGCUGUGAUUUACUCUGUGUGCUAUAUACCAGGACCCAAGUGCCAAGUAUGAAGGAGUGAAUGUGCACCCAUCUCUUGCCUGCCAGAUACCCUCUGUAGACUCCUAUUUCUAGGAACAUCAGCUUUUUACAAGGUUGGCUUGCCCUGUACUCUGACCAUUUCUUCCUCUCUUGCUGAGCUUGAGCUUCAGCAGCAUUCUCUGAAUGUGUUUAUGUGAUUUAUGCAUCUGUGCACACGUGUUCUAGGUGCAUGCAUGGGUGGGGUCCAGAGGUUGAUGCUGGGUGUCUUCCUCUAUCACUUUCCUCUUUCUUUCCUUCUUUCUUUCUUUCUUUCUUUCUUUCUUUCUUUCUUUCUUUCUUUCUUUCUUUCUUUCUUUUUUUAAAGAUAGGAGCUUUCACUGAACCUGGAGCUCACCAUUUUUGUUUUGACUGGCUGGCCAGUGACCUCCCAUCCGCAGCCCCCACCCCCCUGGAAUCUUAGUGUCCGUAACCUAGCAUCCCAGUCAUGUGCUGCCAUACCUGGAUUUUAUGUGCGUGCUUGGGAUCUGAACUCAGGUUCUCUUGAUUUCCAGCAAUCACAAUUCCCAGUAAGUACUGUAGCCAUUGAGCCAUCUCCCCAGCCCAAUACCAACAUUCUUUUAUUUUGUUAUAUCAGCAAAGUAUUCCUCCGGCUUCAGGGUCUUAAGGUUAGUCACUCUGCUUGGCUUUUAUUUUUCCCAUAACUCUCAUAUCGCACUGGAAAUGCCUUUUCUGACCUGCCAUAUCAAUUAGUCUUCUCAGCUAAUUGCUACCUCAGUCUCUGAAACAUGGGCUACACUGUGGUAUUCUUGUCCUUGGGUGUGUCCACUUAAGUUAGCUGCCUGUCUCCUCCACAUAGACGGGAGGUCCUGGGUGAACUUACAGGUCUUCUCUGUAGGGUUAGCACUCCGCAGGCGUGUCACAGGCUUCUGGUGAGUGGCUUCAUUGAUUUGUUGGAUGAAAGGAAAGAGCAGGCCAGGAAAAAGUGUUCUUCCACUUUCAGAAUUCAGUGAGAAAGUAAGUGGUGGGGGUUUCUUAACUGCCACCUUGGGGUUAUUUGGUGAAGGAUGGGGUGGGGAGAGGGAGGGGUGCUCUGUGUUGUAGUAUGUUUAGCAGCCUAAAUGGCAUUUACCUAGUGGAAGUAAUCCCUUCACAGUUGUGAUAACAAAACCUGCCUCCCAAGGUUACCAUAUAGCCCUUGGGGUGGGGGUGGGGAUGGGGGUGGGGGCACUCCCUGCCAGGCCUGCCUUAGACUGAGUUCCAAGGAGCUGGAAAGCCUUUCUGCUUUAAACACAGGGUCCUUUAAACACAGCAGACUCUGGCCUUUAUCCUGCCAUGCACUAAAUCCGUGCCCUUAUGGUCCCUAUGAGGAAGACCCUGGCCUAUGCCUAUAUAAUAGAAGCACCCCCAUCUCUGCUCAUUGGUAUAUAUGUUGGCAGGUAAUCCUGUCCUCACAAUGCAUAGGAUUCCAUUAAAAUCUUUACAACAAUCUUAAAACAAAACAAAACAAAUCCCUACUUAUUGUUAUGUCUAUGAGUGUCUCGUCUGUAUGCAUGUAUGUAUACCAUGUGUGUGACUAGUAUCCCUGAGUACAGAAGAAAGUAUCACAUCUGGAAACUGGAGUUUCAGGGGGUUGUGAGCUGCUACAUGGGUGCUGAGAAACAAAUUUAGGUCCAUUCCAUAAGAGCAGCAAGUAUUCUUAGCCACUGAGCUAUCUCUAACCCCAAGUACAACAGCCUUUUAGCCGCAGUGCCUAAGUUGUGAACAGCAUCAGCACCUGCAGCUUUACCAGCUUGGAGAUGGCCCAGAAAGGAGGCUGGGUUGGGUCUUCUCACCGCUGCCAGUUAGUACAGACUAGUAAGUGGCUCUUGUGAACAAUGGAUCCAGAAGUUUACAGUACACUUAGGAGGAGAAGAGGGUUUGCCUCAGAGAAGGCUGCUUGGGAGAGUAAGUGGGUGGCCUCUAAUACUGGGUUUCCUCUCCCUGUGCUUGCCUCUGAUAUCAGCCUUUGCCAUGAUCUUCUAUGCUGCCUGGCCCCAGAAAGUCUGGGUCAGUGGCCAGAGUCCAGACUCCCAGGGUCCUGAUCAGAGUCCUCAGGAAGGCCUGAGAGAUUAGAGCAUAGAACUCUCCUAGCCUCUCCCACAAGGGAACUGAAAGCUUCCCUGAGCCUUUCCUAGGGACUGAGACCCUUGUUUGCAAUUUAAAUGUGCCCUCCUUUAUGGAAGAAUCCCAGCUCCUUGAAGAGCGUUGAGCUCACCCUCCCUAGCAGUUGUAGCCUUAGCCAGGGGAAGAAACUGAUCUAAUGGGCCUUUCUCCUAAUAAUGCUAAUUGCGGCAAUUAGGCUCUGAGAAUAGAGAACGGGCAGGGCUAGGCCAACUAGUUUGCCCUUAGCUCAAAUCUAGGUCCACUACUCAGGCUGCUGUCCCGGUUGACUAAGCCCCAUGAAGGUUCUGCAUGAGCAGAGGUUCAGCAGAGGAUGGUUGAAGCCUUCUGGCUUCCAGGGGCAAUUACAGUAGAUAUGUAUCUGAGCUCGUGUUCAAUCUAGUAUCCAUACAGGUGACUCCAGGCUUUUCCAUGUGACCCUCCCAGAAGAGGGUCUAACUGGAGCAUAAAGAUGGUUUGAAUUAAUCAACAAACCAAUCCACCCUCUCCCCACCCUCUCCUCUCUCUCUUUCUUUUCUCUCUCCUCUCUCCUCUCUCUCUCUCUCUCUCUCUCUCUCUCUCUCUCUCUCUCUCUCUUUCUCUCUUUCUCUCUCUCUCUGUGAAAGGGGGGGUGGAGGGAGAGGGAAAAGAUGAGCAGGGGAGGGGGUAAGAAGAAGAGUGAGCAGGGAGCAGGGGCAGGAGGUGAAGAGUGAGCAGGGGACCAGGGAUAAGGGCUUAUCUGGUCUGGCAGGAAGUUAGGUUUUAAAGCAUAUGGCUUUAUGGAUUAAGAAACCAUGCCUUAGUAUGGCCAAUUAGUAGAUCUAAUCCCCUCAGCCCCCUAACAUAUACCAAAGGAUCAAUGUUUCUUCACUCUGCAGAGUCUUGCUUACGAAGCACUCUGGGUCCUGUUCUCUCUGGGAGCUGGGAAUCUGGCCUGAUGGAAGGAAACACAGCACAGGCAUAGGCAGCCUGAAUGCUUAGUUAUUCAAAGACUACACCAUAGCUGACUUUGAAUCAGUAUAUAGUAUCUGCACGGUACAGAGCCUUUCCAGGAAGUGAAUUAUGUGUGGGAGGCAGGGAAGUGAUUAUUGCUCCAUUUUAUAGACUCAGCCAUUCCACACAUACUUGUUGAAAGUCCACCAUUCAUCGCACAGCUGUCUCCAGGAGGGAAUUUUACAGGAGUCAGGUCAUACUUGUCCUGUGGUGCUUGUGUGUUGUUAUACACUGAAGGGAAUAUUCUUUGAGGGCUGGAGAUAGAGAAAGGACUCUUAGGAACCAGCCAGAACUCAUCUGGGAUCCUAGUUAGGCACCAAGACCAGGAGGGCACUGUGGAGGAGGGAACGCGAGAGAAAGAAGCUAGCUUUCUAAAACUGGGUACAGAGCUGCAGGCCUUGCUUCCUGAGAGGAUCUUGAGUUUGUUCUGAGACCACUGAGAGCUGCUAAGGGUCUAAGUUCCCAUUCCAUUUAGAUCUCAUUCCACUCAGGGAACUAAGUGGAAUCCACAGUUUAAAAGGCUCUUUCUUGCUGAGUGGAGAAUGAACAGGAGGGGAAUGGAGGUUAUCCGAAGGAGGUGUUGUGGCCUCGCAGAGGAGUGACAGUACAGAAGGAGGGAAUGGGUAAAGGAGGUGAGCAGCCUGGCUUGGUAAUGGACUAGUUGGGUCAGCUAGGAGAGAAGGUGAUGGAAAUGAUUCCAAGGUUUCAGGCUUAUGCUACUGGAAGAAUUUUUGUUGGGGGCAGAGCAUGAGUUGGGGGAGUGGAAUAUGAAGUAACAGAUACGGUGGGUCCAGCCAUCGGAAAGCUAGUUUUUGUCUGUCCAGGAGCUCCUGGUGCUGAGAGGAGGGACUAGCAUAACGGAAAGAAGGGUAGCACUACUUAGUGGGUGUGAAACUGGGGACGGAGCCAGCAGGGUGGCAGGGGAUGGGUGGACAGAAAAGAGAAACCCAUUCUUGCAGAGGUCACAUGGAGUCAGUGUUCUAGUCUUCUGAGGGUUGGCAGUGGACAGCAACCAGCCUAGAAUGUGCCUCCUGCCAGCGUGACUAUGACACCUGCCUUUCUCUAUGACUAGAGAGAAGUCCUUGUUUCUCAGUGGUUCUGUUUUCUCUCUGUGUCCACAGAGAGAGAACAUUUCUCCACAGAAUGUGCAGGGAGGGUCACCUCCCUCUGGAGGCCUCGUCCUUGCUAAAGUAUUUCAUAAUCUUGGAACGAUGGAAAAAUCCUUCUACCCAUUUUAAUGCAAAGCUGGGCAAGCUUUAAAAAACAAAUGGCCUUGAAUAGGCUGAGAUGAAAAGCAAAGAGGCUGCCAACAUUAGAGACUUGGGGGAGGGGUGUGCAGUGGGCAGGGAGAUUUUGGGAGGCUCCAAAGUUAGCAGUUUCUGAGCUUUACUGCUCAAACCUAGAGGCCCAAACCAAACAGAGCAGGUCCAGGGUUCAAGGUGCAAGGGGGCAACAGCCCUUUGGUGGAAGAUGUCUCUUUCUUGUCAUUGUUCCUGAUUAGCUGUUCAAACAGCCUUCACAGAUUCUUCAAAAAAUGGUUAACUGUGGAUCCUCUAUAUCUUUUGCUUGGUAAUUUUUAAACACCGCUGAGCCCGAGCGCCCCUCCCAGAGGCUCAGAGGCCAGAGGCCAGCACAAACUCUACACCACGUCUGCCUAGCCUUUACCUCAUGUGUCUAGGAAUGAUGUACAUUAGAGUAGAGGCUCUGAUGCCUCCCUCGCUCAGGUGCCAGAUCAAGGCUUCAUCCUCUGCCCUUUGCCCAGGGUUUAGUGGGGUUUGCUAAUAUUAUUUAAUUCCCAAAUGAACCUUUCAGGUCAGCAGAAAAGAGCUGGGACUGUAUGGCAAAACCUGGAUGGAGAAAAUGGCUCAAACUGUUAAAACAAAAAAAAAAAACAGGCUCCCAAUGGUGGAAGGGAAGCUCCCCCUCCUUAAGGCCAGAGGUCAGUGUUCCCAUUAAUCCUUCUGCCAAGGGAUAUGUCCCUAAAGGUUCUAGGGUCACACCCUAUCCUUAACCACUCAGGACUUCUGAGAAAUGGCAUUUCAUACCUACAUGUACUGCCACAACUGUACACAACCAAGUGCACACACAUUCAUCGUGUUCCCAGCCAGGGCCCAAGACUGAGUCUCAUUCCCAUUCCACCUUCUCUUAGCCUGUAUGCCAUCUGCCUUGUGAUAGAUGCUGAGACCUACUUAGAUCCAUGGCUGUGCCUGAUGUCUAAGGACCCUGCCUUCUGGUGUCACCCACUUCACUCUAGCUCUCUGUGAUGCCAGCUUUUCUACGGGAGGCAGGCAGGGAGCCUUCUCAGCCAGCCAUAUGUCCUAUGCCAGACAGCCAUGUGGGCAGCUCCAGUGCUUGCCUUGUGGACCUCCUGUUCUAUGGAUGGGAUUUAGCACUCCCAAGAGCACCACAAGAAAGGGGACAGCAAGCAAGAAGAAACUCAGCCACAUAGAAGGACUUCUCUGAGGCCACUGGGUGCCUGACAAGAGUCCUGCUUCUGGGGAAAGCAGUGCUCCAUGUUUGUAGUAGAGCCACCUUCUGUCUUAACCUUGGCGGAGAGUGUUCUUGGACUCAUGCUUCCAUAGAAGCAGUCUGGGUAGGGGUAGAGAGGCAGCUCCUGUUUUCCUGGCUCUGUGCUUGGGAAGUCACAGCUCUCACGGUUGAGAAAGGCAGCCCAGGUUUAGAGCAGUUGGAGGCCAUCCCUGAGAAUAUAGGGCUGGAUAUAGAGGUGUGGGUGCUUAUAAAUACCAUCCUAGGUAUAUGGAAAGGCCACAGGCCACCAUGAUAAGGUACCACUUCCCUUUCCUGCCUGGUGGGCUGUUUCAGUACCAAAUGUCCUGCUACUAAUUUGGUAUAAACAAAUGGGGCCUGAUCUAAAUGCAAAGAACUGAUGCCUCUAGCAGCCACUCCUCUGCCCUGACUUUCCUCAGUGGGCCGUAUGUCUCCUCUUGAUUCUGUUUCUAAAACCACCUAAACUGCAAGAAUCUGGAAAAUAGCCGCUAUAGCAGAUAUUUAUGUUCUUCUGAUCUGCCAUUCAUUCUGUUCUUCCCAUAGAGGCCUAAAUGCUGAGACACUGGGCAGAGGGCAAGGAAAGGUACUGCCCAGAUCUCUCCAGAGGCUGCCAAGAUGUGACAAGGUUGUAGUUGAAGUCUUUAGGGACAUCAGCCGUAUAUGAUGCUGUCCUCCUCUUUGCCUUCUUCCUGUGGGGUGGGCUUCUUCCCAUGGGGCACUUCUUCCCAAAGCCACAUGAAAGGCCUUAAGUUCUAGAGGAUUAACCUGAGGAUGGCACUGAGUUGCAGGGUGCGGAUGAGAGAUUAUUGUAGAGCUGGUAGAACCCUCCAUCUGCACGGCUGACUUCAAGCUGCUGCUGGGCUUAGCCCGCUGCAUCAAAGUCAGCCAGUUACACAGUUUGCACAUAAAAGGGAGAGUGGAGGGCUUAAAAGCCUUCAGUGAAGACAGGCAGGCAUUCCACCCUCUUCUCAGGCACAAGAGCCACCAGAGGAGAAAGUAACUGCCUCUUAAAGACACGGAAUCACCCUUACACCCUGGUUUAGGGUUUGAAGACUACAGCCUUAGUCACAAGCCUAGUGAGGCACCUGUGUGGCGAGAUCCUCCAUAUGCAUUCAGCUCCCUGCCUUGUAUUUUGUUUCCCUGCCUCCAGUACCUAUGUUUUGGGGGGGCAGGCUAUCUGGCGGUUGGGAAUAAGGAGAUAGUAUUUGGUAUGACAGCCCUGAGGAAACUGAGUCAGGCUGCUCAGGUUGGAUUCUAGCUUUUAGUCUAAACAAUGGCUUUAUACAGUGCCUUUCCUCCAGUCCUCGCAGCCUUGUGUGAAUACAUUUAGAGGAGACCCUCCUUCAGCCUCCCUGAGAAUGCUCUGGAAAGACCCAGGAGAAUCUAUCUUGCUCUCUUGUCUCCCGACUCCUGCCUUCCUCUUUGCCCCUUGUUGCAUCCCUUGCCUGACUGCAGUAUACUGUGGUGCCAGAAGUACCAACUUCUCAAGCAGAGCCUAACCCAGCUUGUGCCUUGCAGAGGGCAGAGGGGUGCUUGCUGACCCUGCCCUCAUUCAGGGAGACUUCAAAGGGAAACUGGAAGCAUUCCUUGCUGACCCCCAGUGAGUGGGAGAGAAGCAGCAGCUUGGCUCAGCUGGCUGGGUUGGGGAUUUUCCAUCCUACCAAUGAUAUCCACGUGAUACCCCACUCUGGCUUUUGAGGAACCAGGAACUCUGAGGAACCAGGGUUUGAUUUUCAACCUGUUGGUGCCGUAAAGGGCUAGGCUCUUUGGCUUUGGGGCAUUGCCAGCCACUUGAGGAGCUUCCUAUUCUCAGCUUCUUCGUGACAUGCUGACGACUGGUGUGAAAUCUUAGCCUUAAGGUCCGGCGAGAUCUAGCUUUGUGUGGGGAGAUUACAGUUUGUGUGGGGACCCAAGAAAAAGUAGAGAGAAGAUGCCUGCCUUUUCUCUAUCAGCUGUUUACCCCUCGGGCCUUUUGUGGAGUGCACACGCCAGCCUCCGUAGCAGCACAGCACAGCCCAGGCUAUCCUAGACUGCUCCAAGUCCUCAAGCAGAGUACAGUGAGACCUGGGUGGGGAUUCAGCACCUCCCGAGCUGAGGGGGGCAAGAAGCCCAGAAAUAGAAGUCAACAUUUAUGCUAAACCAGGGUACCCCCCUUGACUAACGUGGGCUCUUGGCAGCUUCUGGCUCUCAGAUCUCUACCUACAAUUUGUAGGCUAAAUACUCUACACUACUCAGCGUAUCUAAUCCUGUCCCUCAAGUGUUAGACUAUCGGGUUUCCCUCUGAGUCACAGCAACCUUAGGCCUGGUCAUCUUCCUUUUUUUGUGUUUGUUUACUAGGACGAAGUACCAGGUGUACUCUGAGACCAAGUGUCCAUGAGAUCCUUAUGGACCUGGACUGGGUUAUCCCCACCUCCAUCUGGUCACCAGAUAUAAAUACAUGAAGGCCUCUGUCCAAAGAGUAUCUCAUCUCAGAGUCCCUUUUUGUACUUUUUGGGGAUGUGCAAGGGUCCUUACUUGACAGUGGUUGGGUUGGGGUACAGGGUUAUAGUUGGCAAUUACUGGUCCUGGGCUAAAAAUGAGGCCCAUGAUGUAGAAGUUUUAGCUUACAACUUGAAUUUGCCAUCCUAAAGAGUCCCAUACAUGGCAUAACAUAUCUGUUCUGUGUAACCUCAAACUGGGUCUGAGAGCAGAUGCUUUGAUGAGGAAAGCAGUAUCCACAGCUGUCUCUCCAGCAGCAUACUGCUAAGAGGUGAACUAUUCUGUGGGCUUUAUGUGAGAUGACUCUGGAGAUAAAUGGUGGUGGUAGUGGGCUUGUUUAAAAACAAUAGAGAAAACCUGACAUUAUAGAGUCUCUAAGCAUAGGCAUCAACAUUUGACAGCUGGGUUGGGGUGUUGUGGCAUUGUUGAUAAGCCAUAGUGAGCAUGUUCCCCUUCAGCCUAGCGCUUACAGGAUGGGCCAAAGAGAGUGCAGUAUGAUUUCAGGGAUGUCCAGGGUCAGCAGCACUACUGAGAUGAAGUGUGUGCCUGCCCCAUCCUGUCAGGGUCUGGUCACACAACUAGGCCAGAGCAGGCUUAGAUGGCAGGAUUAGACAUAGGGAGAUCCAACAAAGGCACAGACAGUAUCAGAAAUGAGGUAGCAAGACAGGGCAUAGACUCAAGCUUCCUGGGUUACUGUCAACGCCGGCUUACUCUAUGAUUAUGCAAAAAGUGGAAACAAAAUUCUUUAAAGAAACCUAAUUACCAAUGUGGAUUUGUAGCAGGCUGAAUUGUGGGAGGCCCUGGUGGAGACGGAUUGAGCUUUGACAGUGACUGUGUCUUAGCUGAGGUCUUCCUUCCCACCUCUCUCAGCCAAAGCAAGUACUCAGUUGGGUCCCAACUCCCACAAGGCUCUCUUCAAGUACUAUAUUACAGAUGUGGGGGUGGCCGUUACUCAUUUUGGCCAAAGUUACUUAAGGGACACAGAGAAGGUAGACGUGUUGCUUUUCAAAUACCUAUAAGUAGAAAGGUGGAAGAGAAGGGGGAGUUUGGUCAGAAAGCCACAGACACCAUUUGCUUCUCAUCCCCACAUGAAAAUAGAUGGUACUGGGGAUUUACCCCAUCUGCUCCUCUGUAUCUUGUCUGUGGCUGGCCUAGGCCCUUAUCUCACCACAGGCCACUUCAGAAAAGAGACGGCAAUGGCAAGAGUGGGCCAGGCUGCGUGGACUGGGUAAAGUCAGUUAAUAGACAGUGCCUGAUUAAGAACUAGGUCCCAUGGUGUGCCCCAUGCUUCAAGGGAAGCCAUUCCCUAAGAGCUGGUGUGAAAGAUUUGAAGUGGCUGUGCCAGCUACUGAGUCUUCUCCUCUGAACCGUAUAGUGAUAGGCAUGGGCAACAUGAGCUGUUACUGCCCAAGCAAGGAAAGUCAGGUUGACAAGGAAGGUCUUUUCAAUUCAGAGAAGGUAAGGCAGUCAUCAAGCUUUGUCUUACCAGGAUAAUGUCAGUGUAUAUCCUUUGCCAUUUGGCUCAGAAGACGCAACUCUGAAUGAUAGCUAGAGAGCAUCACCUAACACAAUCUGGCUAUGAACACAUUUGGGGUCAUGGAGCAAAAGGCUAGCCCUGGAGGCCUCAUGGAUCCACAAGAACCCAGAGAGAGAACAAGGAGGCUCAGGGUUUUAGAGGCCUCUGAUCCACACAGAGAGAGUCAGGAAAGUUAUUAGAGGUAUUCCCUGCAGCAAGAUAUGAAGGGCUAGCUAUGGGAACAACAUUUGAAAUGCUGGUACUCCAGGGCAGUGUGUGUGCUGCUGGAUAGCAGGAGGGUUUCUACUGAUGCCUGAGGCUUGCUCUAGCUCAUAAAUCUCCACUUCUCCUUAGCACUGUGAAAUGUUUACUCUGAACUAAGCCUCUGCUUUAACAAGUCAUGUUUCAAUAGGAAAACCUUCGUUGAUGGAAUCGAAUGCAGUUCCUCCUCCCCCUCCCUGCCAGUUACCCAUUCCUAAGAAAAGCACAGCCAUUUGGCAAGCACCCAGAGCCUCAGGAACUAGCAUUCGAAGAUAGUAGUGUGGCGGAUUUGAUGGCCUCAUUUACAUAAAGGAGAACCUGGCCUCUCUGUGCCUGGUCUUGUCAGUCCUUCAAACUGACAGUACUGAAGAGUUGGGGACCUACGCUCCAUCCUUUACUUCCAGCUCCAUUACCCAUAGAAGCCUUCAGUGGGCACUUUCAGACUUGGUGCUGGUUCAUUCUUAAGACUGGCCUGUUGCUGUGCUUCGGAGUCAGCAGCCACAGAAGUCCUGUUGCCUCAGGAGAGCCUCGUUAGUCCCGCUAAGAGCGUAUACACACAAAUACAUGGUGAGAUCUACCAGCCCUAAGGCAACAGUGUGUUUUUUCUUUACUUAAACAGUAGAGUGGGUUUCCUGUAUGGACCUAGUUGCCAGAGGUUGCUGCCCUGACCUAGAAAUAGCUGCUGCCCCAAGCCUUGCUUUACAAGUUUUGUUUGUUUGUUUUUAAAAGAUUUAUUUUUAUUUUAUGUGUAUCAGUGUUUGCCUGCAUGCAUGUCUGUGUAUCACAUGCAUACGUGGAGCCCACAGAGGUCAGGAAAGGGCACCAAAACCCCUGGAACUGGAGUUACAGAUCCACAAGUUCUUGAUCUACAAAACCCGAGAUGGUUCCUUCCAUGUGAAACCCCUUCUAAGAGAAUCAUCUAAAAUCACUGUGUUAUAUUGGUGCCUACAUUUCCAGAAUGGCAGGCAGAAAGGGGUGCAUUGUCGAGAAUGGUGAUAAGAUAGGUUCUGGUGGACUCUGGGACCCUAAGUCCCAUGGAUAAAACCCUGCCAGGGAGCUCUGAAGCUCUGCCGUCCCUUCAAUAUGUUCCUGGCACUAACAUGGCCCAAAGCAGCCUUCCCACCCCCAGGCCGGGUCCUAGAGAGCCUAAUUGAUUGCAUGUGAAACCUCAGUCAUUUAUGUGUUCAUUUAUUUCUUCAUCAAACAUUCACUGAAGGUUCCUGAUGUGCUCCAAGUAGAUUAAGCACAGAAUAUAAAACACUGAACAGAAGUGGUCAAUGUCUGCCCUUAUGGACCUUGAAUGGGAUCGACAGAAAGUCAGUAAACUUGUUACCACAAACAUGCGGUUAUACAUUAAAAAUGAGGGAUGGGGGUGUAGUUCUCUACGGCUCAGUCUGAAGCUGAGAAAUAGCUUAGGCACGCUUCAGCCUAAGAAAUCAGCCUUAGCUUGUGAAAGGUGAAAGUCAGAGGAGAGCUUAGCAUGUUUAAAGAUGUCGCCAAGAAAAUGUUACAGGGGCUGGGGCACCUUUGGCAGAUCGACUACUCCCUGGCUUUGUGACCUGGGCCCUAGACUUGAGCACUCUAGUUUCAGUUUAUCUCUAAAUCAGAAAUGAUAGAUAGUAUUCAUAUGUCAGAAGCUGCUGUGAGGAUUAGUGAGGUUAUAUGUAUAAAGCUCUCAGCAUAAUGCCUGAAAACUCUAAGUAGUAUUAGCACAGGCUUAUUCUUCUCAGAGUGAGCAUGUCUUCUCCUUAAGCAGUAGAGUGGUGGUUCUUUUGAAAUACCCAGGACUCUCCUGUUACUCCUGUCCCUAGGACCUCUUCUGGAUGAGUGGGGAGGCUAUAAUGGAGGCCUAGUAUUCAAAAGAAAAGACUUUCCUUUACCUGUGUGCAGGAUGUUGCACUGAGUUUUCUAGCUUCUUUCAGCUCCAGGAGCCUGUAUUUGUCACAUAGCAGCUUUGCUCAGCCUAGAACCAGCACUCAGAGCUAUGGGAGACCAAAGCUGCCUUUUGGGGCUAAGUACAUUGUAUAUGCAUGUCCAUCAUUUGCAUACACAUUUGUAGGGCACAGCUGAAAAUCUCCAGACAUGUCCCGGGGAAGAUGAUGUUAUUUCUAGGCUUCCUGGCAUCCUGGUGGAGACCACCAAGAAUCACUUCAUACCCAGGAUAUUAAGGUCAACUGGUUCCAUUGUUUCCCAGAGUGCUCACAACCACCAAUCUUUCUCUGAGUUAGCUUAGCCCCAAGAGCCUCCUUUCACAUGGGCGUGAGCAGUGAGUUAUAAAACUAGGGGUCCCAGAGUUGGAGAGAGACAGGACAGAAGAGAAUGGUUGUCCUGGAACUCAAAGAAGAGAGCAUCCUGCUUCUGCCUCUUAAGUACUAGGUCUGCAUCUAAUCUACCUUCUGUCAAAGCUAGCGGGCCUUUCUAGCCUCCCACUCCCCCUUAACAUAAUAUAAAAGCACCUUCUUUGGAAUCCUCCUAGCAUUGGGAAUAGAAUUGUAGAAGAAUUUUCUCUUAGGAUCGAUCUCCCUCUGUCUCUCUCUGUCUCUCUCUUUCUCUCUCUCUCUUCCUCCCUCCCUCUUUCUCUUUCUCUCUUUCCAUAUAUGUAUGUGUGUGUAUGUAUGUAUAUAUAUACAUAUACACACCAUCACAUUCUUAAUGACAUUUUCUAAAGUCUCGUUGUAAAGUCUCAGUAAAAAUUCCACUGGUGUGUUAAUCUGACAAUGCUACAUAAUAAAAGAACACAUACCCAACAAACCUAUGAUGGCUAAUGCAAAGCUCUUACAUAUUAGCCAAGAAGGUCUGACAGUUUAAAAAAAAUAUAGACCUGAUUAAGAUCAUAGCAGGAUACAAAGACACACACAUAACAUGGGUGAGCCUCAGAGGUGGGCAGAGGGAGGGCGUCAUCUUCAUUCAAAGAUGAUAUGCUACUUGGCUCAAUUCAUGGCCUAUAAUGCCAUGUGUGGUAGUACAUGCCUUUAAUUCCAGCAUUCAGGGGGCGGAGGCAGGCAAAUCUCUGAGUUUGAGUCUAGCCAGGGUAUAUAAUGAGACCUUGACUCAAAGUAAACAAAGGAACAAACAAAUAAAUUUCAGUGAAGUAUAGGCUAGUAGUUGCCAGGGGAUCAGGAAAGUAGGGCUGGAAAGCAUGAGGUACCAUGAAGUGGCUGUACGUAGGGGCCCUUGAGGCCACAGAUUCAUUCUACAGUGGUGCUGUACCCUAAGCUUGAUAUGUUCCUAUAGUUCUAAAGAUGUUGCUAGAUGAAACUGGUCAGGGUAUAGGGAAUCUCUUUGCUAUUGUUUACAGGUGUAUGUCAAUCUAUGGUUACCUAAGUGCUUAAAAAGUUACAUCUCACUUAAGUGAGUAGUACACUUAAAAAUACCAUGUGAAUUUAAAAAUGGAAGAGAGAGAUGGGUGGGCGGUUAAAGAGUUAAACAAUAUAGAGACUUUAUAGUUCACUUGAGCACUUAGAACAGCUACUUCUCCUUAUGAAUGGACGUUUUUUAUUUACCAAGGUAAUUCUUCCUUCAUCUAAACUGACAAAGUCAGUGGAAAAUAUCAGCACAAAAAGGAAGGUUACACACAAAGUUUAACUAGGUGAGUUAUGCUAAGGUUUGUGAAAAAUGUGGCAUGUGCCAUGAUUCUGAAGCAGCUGUACCUCUCUGGUCUGGCCUCACCUCUACCCCCCCCCCCCAACAUUGCUUGGACAAUUCUUCUGUCAAGGUGAGAAAGGCAAUGAUUUCUAAGAUUACACUCCCAUUCUGAAUAACCAUAAGGGGCUGCAUCUAUCUGCCUUGCUUCUGACACGGAUGCCACUCAGCCAGACUUCCCUCUCCAUUGGCCUUGCUGAGCAUGGAGAAUUUGGGUUGUAGGUGAUAAAAGUCGACGCUUUAUGAUGCGUAAUGCAUUUAAGGAGCACAGCAGCCAACCCACGGCGAACACCUUUCUACAUGGUUCCAUAUUACAUUUCACCCCUGAACAACUCAGGAAGAAUGUUCUUUUAGUAUGAUUUUAUAGACUGAAGUUCUAGAAUGAAAGAAGCGGUGAAGCCUGGAUUGAAAUUUGGUCUGUGGCUACAGAACCUGCUUUUGACCAUGUAGCAUUUUAGUUGCACAUCCUGAAAUAGAAGCAUCAGUCAAGUAGCAGGUGUGGCAUUCCUCCCAGCCAUGGAAAAGGCUGGAAAAACAUAAUUGGUCCAGGUGGCCCAGCUGAGAAAGGCACUGAGUCCUUGCUUUACAGAUCAUGCCGUGGAGCCAUUUUUACCUGUAUAGAUUAUAAUAGCACUUUCUAUUAUAAUCCUUCUUUAUAUGUUAAGAUUAUGGUACUUUUAAAAGUUUUUUUUGGGGGGGGGCAGUUUCUGGGAAUUGAACCCAGGGCCUCACACAUGCUAAGUAAGUGUGCUGAACUAUACUUGUAGUCAAAACCCUAUUUUAAACAAAUAAACAAACAAAACACAAAACCUCUAUACUCUCUUCCUUGAAUUACACAUUAUUCUCUUGUUCCCUCCUAACGUGAUAAAUUGUCUUAAGAUGGCUAAAGCAUGAUUAGAUAGAUAUGUACCCAGAUGGCUCCGGUGUCUGGCCAUAACAUACCCUUUGGAUGUUGCCUUAUGAGGGAGCCUCUAAGACAAGUUCUCAUGGUCCCUGACAUGAUUAGCUAGUGAGGACUAAGUCAGGAGUUAAGGAUGUGUGUCAGUCAUAGCCAUAGCCAUGCUUAGCUCACAGGCCAGUCUGGGAGCCACUCACUAGUUGGAUCUUCAUGCCAUCAGGUCUUCAACAAUCUAUGAAGAAGCCCUGACACACAGAAAUCCAUCUCAUAAUGCUAUAUAAUAACAGCAGGCACACUGUAGUCCUAAGGAGAGCCUGGAUACAGACACAAACAAGAUCAGGAAAUACAGUCAAAAUAGCAGCUAAAACCAGCAGCGAAAAGUUGGAACAACCACAUAACUGUGGAAAAUAAAUUGGCUUUUUAACUACUCCAAGUCCAGAUAAACAAAUAAUAUAAACGUAAAACAUGAAAUAAAAGAUGAUAGAAAACAUGGGAGACUUCAUUAAAACAGUCUUACAGUGAGCUUAUUUCCAGAUCUGAUACAAAACCUCCAAAUUAACCAAAGACUUAAAGAACUGACUUUGUAAGAAGAUAGAAAGAAAUCUUAAUUCUUCAGCAGUUAAAAAAAAAAAGCUAAAAUAUCCAAAAAACAGUGGGGAAAAUAUUUUUAAUGUAUGCACUAUAGGCAUUUUAUAUGAAGUAAUUCAAAAAGUCUAAAGGUUAUGAAGAGAUGGCCUUCAAAAAGGGGGUGGAUAGGCUUUCAAAAAUAUGACCCAAACUAAAUCUUUUAAAAAGAUGAAACCUUCAUAGGGGAGAGAUGGCUUAGUGCGUAAGAGGGCUUGGCAUGCAAACAUGAGGACCAGAGUUAGGACCUCGGCAUCCAUGUCAAAUGGUGGGUGUAACUGCAUUCAUGCCUGUAACAGUACCUGGUCAUGGCUAGGAGGAUUGCUGGGCCUUGCUGGCUGACAGCUCAGGUCUAGGUUCAGGGAGAGACUAUCUCAAAGGAAUCAGGUAGUGAUAGGUUAGGACACCUGAUAGUCCUCCAUGUGUUUUUCUCACCCCCCUCAUGGACCCCCUAGAUAAAAGAAAACCAAAGCUGUAGCAUACUGUGUUUUAAGCCGGUAAUCCUCUUGUUGUCGGGAUCUAGGGAAACAGACAUAUUUGGACAGCAUUUGCAAUAGUAUAGACGGCACAGUGUCUGUUAAGCAUUAUCUACCUAAAGGUGAGGAAAUAUUUUAAUCCCAUUUAAAAUAGGCUGAAGAGACAUCUUAAAGUGAAUCCAUUUGAAAUAAAAAUCAAUAUAUUGUGAUAAGCAGAUGAUUGGAAGGUUAUCUUGAAAAAAUGGUAAGUUAUGAAAAAUUUGAUCUUAUGUAAUAACACUAAUGUCUGCAGAUACAUACUUCUUUUAGAAAAAUAACAAAUUGAAAAUAGUUUUAUUUUGUAAAACACUAUGCAGUACUGUCUUGCAGAGAGAGGAUGUUGUCGCAGAAGUAUGGCAAGGCCUGGCCAAUUUUGAGAGGGGCUGCCCUGAAUCUUCCGUGACCUCACCAACUCUUCCCUUAAAAUGCUUAUCUAGAAUUAGCCUGGCUCUUCUUUUCAAUAGAUAACUGGCCUAACUGUCUGAUUUUCCAUGGAGAAAUUCAUCAGCAAAUCUCUUUCCAACUUGAUGAAUUCUUCUAUAAGAUUUAUAGUUUCUCUUCAUAAGUGAUUUGCUUUGUGUGUGCUUAAUGUUGUUUGGUGGACAAGAGCAGCCUAGAGGGGGCUCAGUCAACAGAGAUGCCAGCAGGGAUAACAUGGAUGGGGAGGCACAGCCAUGCUCAAUGGGGAGAGCAAUUUCAGAGGGAACUAAUUUCAUAAGUGGUCGGUUCAUAAGUGAAUACACUUGAAUGGAUAAUCACUAUUUUUAGCUGCUCUAUACAUUCAUCAAUAGGGGACUUGUUCCAUAAAUCAUGGCAUAAUCAGAGGCUCUGCAGCUGUUAGUAGAAAGGAUGUUUGCUGCUUGUCUGAGUAAAGCUCUAUCUUUAAAUUCAUGUCCAUUGGUGCAGAGUGCCCAUGCUAAACCUGCAAAGUUUCAUUUGGCAUGACCUCUCUGGGACAUUUAUCUCAGUCCCUGGCCACUGUGUGCUGUCAGCCUUCUGAUUUCUGCAUUGUAUAGGAGCAUCCUUGGGAAUGUUCACUCUCUUCAUAAACUAUCCCCUUUGGAAGAGAGUGCCACCCAUUUCUUAAAGGUACCUAUAGAAAGGUGGCUUUUUAACACCUAGUUUGGUGUUCCUAAUCCUGCACCACCAUCUACAUGACUUUGCCGGAUACUGUUGAGGUCACGUGUUGACUAGAAACAGGGCUGGUUCCAGGAAUAUAACUAACAACCUGAGCAGAACAGUAAGCACGUUCUGUCUGGAAAAAGCCUGGCCCAGAGCAAAGGCCACAUCCUCCUUACAACAUACUGGAAUCCCAGCCAGGAGAAAAACAGCUCUGUCACCUGCUCACUUGAAUAUGCAUCUGUAAGUAAAACUGCUACUCAGAGUUGCAACAUAUUGUAACAAGCCAGUCCUGUGCAGAUAGCCCAGGACUAGGCACCUCCCUGUGCACAAGGCACACGUACAAGUACACAAGAAUGUGUGCCACCCAUGUCCAAAGGAGGCACAGAGACAUGUGCCCUUGCUUACAUAAAGUCUCUGGGAAGACCUAACUGAACUGAAAACAUUUAGGAAAAGAAACUUGGGAAUUAGGGUCAGGGUAGGAGACCCUUGUUUUUUUUUUUUUUGUUUGUUUGUUUGUUUUUUGUUUUUUUGUUUUUUUUUGUUUUUUUUUUACCAUAUUCCUUUCUGCACCCUAAUUUAUCACUGUUUGAUUUGUGCACACAAGGAUGUGUGGUGCAUUUGUGAUUUUUUUUUCUUUAACAUAAUACUAGUAUAAAAGAUUUGCUCUAAUGUGCAGUGCAUUUUACUGUGAUGUUUGCUUUUUUAGCACAACAUUAAUACUUUACAAAAGUCUUGUUUGAACAUAGCAGGUGUAAUUCCAGAUUGGGAGUGGUUGCAGGCCCCCACAGUAUGCAUGCUGUGUGGACAGCAUGCCUGUGUGGAGCUGGGAGUCUCUGGUUCAUGUCACUCUGGAGCAGGGGCUGCUCUAGCACAAAGAAGGUUUUGAAAGGCAAAGGCAGAGCCAGAGUCAGGGCAGGCUCUGGGCAGGCUCCAAGAGAGCCAGCAGCAACCCUCUGCUGAAGGGUGCCCUGAACUCCAUCGUACAGGCGAGCACCUCCUGUGAAGUGAGAUUGCUACACAAGUCUCGUCAUUACAGAAUUUUGAGUGGAGUGAUUCUGAAAGAAAAGAAUGAGAAUGGUGUGUUCUAUUGCGCCUCAUUAAAUAUUGAAGUUUUUAUGUAAUUUUCCUUCAUUUCAGGUAAUCUCUAAUUUGUUGAAUGAAGAAUGACAACAGUUCAUCUUUCAGUUCAUUUGUCUCUCUAUUGAUCUAAUUGAAUGUUUUCUAAACACAUUUACUUUUAAAUUUAACUUAGAUCCCAUUCUAUAACCACAUUUCAUAUUGCCAAAACUCUGCAUUGGGGAGGGCCGAGUUAUCUUCACCAUUGAAAUAGGUCUGCUUUGGAGCCUGUUUGGCUCUGUCUGUUCUGUGGAAAUGACACAAUGUUGACCUAAGAGGGGCCCUCACUUCUCCCUACUGAGUCCCCAUGGUUGGAAAAGAAGAAGAAGCCGUGAGCCCACCCCCAGACCUGCCCACUCGGGACAUGCCCACAAGCCCAUGCUGGGCUUGUCUAUGGACUCUGCCCUUGGCAUCCCUGUUGCCCACCUGGGCUCUGGCAGAGAAGUUGGGCGGGAAGAGGCCAGCCGAGUACCCGCCAGUAUAAGAGGAAACGGAGAGAAACAGCUCCAGUCAGCCCCAGAAGGGAGGCCUGGAAAAACUCUGCAGCUGGAGCAAACACAAAGGACUUUUCAGAUCCUGCAGUCAAGGUGCCCAGUGCUUUUUUUUUUUUUUUUUAUUAAUACAGCUAUUAGGGUGACAAGCCUUUCGAAAGGCCAGCAGUUGGCGAGAGUUUCCAGGAAGCUGGUCUGGCAUGGGGCUGGGAUCAUAGCAACUUUUAAUGAGUGAAGUUCAGAAGGAAGGAGUCAUCAGGAAAGGUUUAAGGUUCAACAAACUUUUUGAAUUAUUUUGCAAAAAAGUUCUGGCUUUCCAAUUCAAAGGCAUGUUUCCCUGUGAUGGUUUUAAGCCAGAGCUUAUUUCAAAGGCAACGCAGACUGCACGUUUCUAAUUCAUUCCCUGGAGAUAUUUGCCUAAUCCUAGAGACAAGCUUUGCAAGUGCCAUUCAGUGCCUGGAGACACUAGAGCCAUCUUACUAUCUUUUCAAGCAGCCAUCCACCCACGUGUCUCUCCCCUCUACCAGUUUCUGUGGUUAGGAGUACACACAUGCACACACCUUCCCUAAGCAGGAAGCUGCUCUUUGCCAAAAGUGAAUGGAAUUCAGAUUUCCAGAGGGUAUCCUUGGUCUCCAGCUCCAACAGCCAUCUGACGAAGAAAGAUGCUAGUGUGCGCUGGGGCUGCGAGAGAGGGGCUUCCGUGUCCAUUCAAAUCUUUCUGGGCCCCAAGAAAAACCAACAACUGGCUGUGCUCUCCCUAGCCCCACCCAACCUCAGUCACAUUCCUUCCCUUCCUGAGCCCACCCUGGGUGGCCCCACAAACCAGCUUCCACUCCUCCCUUCCCACCAGUGGGGAGACCUAACUCAUGUCCUCAUCGCGCAGCCAACAGUGAAAAUGAAGGUCAUGCUGCAAGCCCCAAACAGCUUAAAAGCAGAGAGGGGUCCUCCCCUAUGUCUGUUCUCACCCCAGUCAGACUCUUCCUUUUUUGUCUGUCUAGCAGCCCCUAGGACUAAGCUUUUAUACCUUCUUGUGCUUGCUUCCAGGAAAUCCUAGCCUACUUCUGCCUGUAACAUUCUUGGGCCUGGAAAUGAAGAGGCUGCUGUUCGGGCUGCUGUAGCCCUUUGCUACUAGAACUUUCCAAUAUAUCAGGGAUCUCUGUCCCUACCUAAGCCUUCCAAGCCCCAGGAUCCAGCAUCCCCAGGAGUUGUAUAUUUAUAAAUGCUGGUGUGGUUUUGAUAAUGAGUUACAGUAAGUGAUCAGCAGUGACAAGGUAGACUGGCUGGUCCUAAGCCUAAGUUACUGGGAUUUGUACUUGUCCAGACAGGGAGGGAACAUGUGGAGACCCUUCUUUCAGCCAUCAGAAUGAAUAAGUGACUAUGGUGGACAUUUUGGUUCUAUGCUCAGCAAGGCCUAAUAUUUAGAGCAGAGGCUCAGCUCAAAGGCUGUUCCUGUUGAUUUUGAAUGAGACUUUUUUUUUUUAAGAUUUAUUUAUUUAUUAUAUGUAAAUACACUGUAGCUGUCUUCAGAUGCACCAGAAGAGGGCAUCCGAUCUCAUUAUGGGUGAGCAACCAUGUGGUUGCUGGGAUUUGAACUCAUGACCUUCUGAAGAGCAGUCAGUGCUCUUCCCCACUGAGCCAUCUCACCAGCCCUCGAAUGAGACUCUUUUCAAUGCCAUAGUCUGCUGGGAGGCAGGAUUAUUUCUCCUGAGAUCAAUGCUGGAGGUAAUUGAGGCUUUGCCAUCUGGGCAUUGCUACCUCACCUGGUUCUAGAUGCCACAAGAUGCUCAGCUUGUCUAAUUACAGUUGACUAUCACUUCUGUCUAUGGCUCUAAGGCCCAGUCUGAUCCUCUUGCUUGGUCAAAAAUAGGGUUGAACCAAUAGGGGUUUUCUGGGUAUUCUGUAAAGUGUUGUUAUGGUUGUACUGGCCAACUUUACUCUCUUUCCUUAGCUAAUCUCAGAUCUCAUCUUUAAGUAUCUGCAUCCUACCUCAACUCUAUCAACUUUUUCCUGGCAGAGCCUUUAGUGGUCUUGUCCUCAUCACCCUGGAGGAUCUUCCUGUUCCAGUCCUAGGUUUUGACUGUGGUGCUUAAGAAAAUGCCCCAGGUAGCUAGCAGUAAUGCAGCCAUUUUUGAUCUAGUCCUGCUGGAGGUGACUGACAGAACUGCAUACAGAGGAGAUAGGUCCCAUCAGCAAAUCAGAACAUAGGAGUAAGGAUUGGGCCUGCUUUCUGGUUCUGGUUAUGCGGUUACAUGGCCUUAUAUUCUCUUGUCUUUCCAUUGUAUGACACCUCCAAGGAUGUUGUAACCCAAACCCAGACCACAUAGUCUGCUGAGAUACUGUGAUGGGGCCAUUGCCCAUUGGUGAGACAGUCUGGUAAAGAAAAGCCUGGUAGCAUGGAGUAUGCAGAACCUUAGGGAAGAAUAUCUUGUCUCUUUGAGGCAGAGCUCAUGUAGCUCAGUUUGUUCUCAAGCUCACUGUAACUGAAGAUGACUUUGAACUUCUGAUCUUUCUGCCUGUAGCUCCUGAGUGCUGGGAUUACGGAUGUGUACAACUAGACCUAGUUUAUGCAGUGCUGGGGGUCAAACCUAGGGCUUCAUAAAUGAUAAGUUAGCAGCUCUCUAACUGCUAAAUCUCAUCCCCAGAGGGAAGAAUAUCUUAAGUGAAGCCCUGAGUCUCUGGGGUGGACUGCUUUACCCCUCCCCUUCUGCCUAUAGCAUGCUAAGUUCAGUCAGGCCUAGAGCAUUACUCCACUGAAGGUCACUCAUGCCGUCCCCCCCCCCCCAACCCCCAGGCAUCUGCAUCUGGAGCCCACACUCCCAGCUGGUAGAGUUUAUAGGGUAGGUUUUUGUUUUCUGAAAAAGACCAUUUCAGUGUUUUGGAUUAGCAGAGUUUCAAUUUAAUUUAAUAAAUCCAAGCUGGGUGGUGGUGGCAUAUGCCUUUAAUCCUAGCCUUUUAAACUGCCAGGAGGCAGAGGCAGGCAGGUUUCUGAGGCCAACCUGCCCUACAGAGUGAGUGUUCCAGGACAGCCAAGGCUACACAGAGAAACCCUGCCUCUAAAAACAAACAAACAAAACCAUCAAACAAACAAACUAACUCACUCACUCACUAACUCUAUAUACAAACCUGAGGGAAAUAAAGGCCUACCUAUGUCCAAAACAUGCAGGAGGGAGAAUUAGGCAAGAGAAAAAGAUCUUGGGGCAGAGGGCAGGGUGUGGGCUCACACAGAUGGCCUAAGUGUAGUCAAGGCCAGGGCAAGGGGACAGGCCCAGAACAAAUGAGCACUUUAAGUCCCAAUAUGACCUGCAUCUUACCAUUUUCACUUCAGGUACAGAGACCAGCUGCCUAGGAAUUAAUGGUGGGGCCCAGAGGACAGCUGCUUAGUGCUACCUACCUCAAUGAACCUAAUUCUCUUGGGGCAGCAAGUUUAGGCCAUAAAGCAGGAUAGGUAGAUUCCCUUAGGUAAGAACCCUGUCUGAGAGUGAGUAUGUGUUUGUAGAGAGCUCUGUGUUCUCUUUAAGCUUCACCUUUCAUCCUUCUUACCUGCCUACAACUAACUCCACAACACAAAUAUCUCCUUACUACUAUGCAAAAGCAGCCUCAUUUCUACCUCAGUUCUCCAGUUGGAUACCACAUGCCACCAGAGUUAUACUUAGAGUUUGAUUUUAUAUGAGGGCUUACAGCCAGAGUCCUCAGAGAAAAGCCAGGUAGAAUAAAAUUUAUCUCUGAAAACAUCUUAAAGUGCACCCCUUCCCAGUAAUCUCUCUCAGAGCCCUCUGAUUUCUCCCUUCUUAGUUGCUCUCAUGUCCCUAAAGUAGAAGAAGCUCUCAGGGGGACGCCAAUUGUCUCUGAACUUCUGUGGCUAUAGCCACGUGUGUGGAAAGAUAACUUAGGCAGAAAAUCUAAGCAGAUAGUGAGGCCAGAGUUAUGGAGUAGAGAUGCUUGGCUGAGUAGAGACUUAGACUAGACCCCUUUCUACUUCCCCCCAUUCUCUUCCUCUUCCAUGUUUCCAAGAUGUCACCCAGGUCUCCCAUAGAUCCAACCAUGGGCUCAUAGUCAGAACUCUGCUAACCAGUCAUUGCUAAGGAGAUGUGACUUCUGCCAAGGACACCUGAACUAUCCUAAAAGGGAUACAAAUAUAGGCAUAAAUGCAGAGUUGGACACCAUGAGAAGCUUAGGAGGAAAGGGCAUCCUAGUUCCUAGUCUGUGAGAUCUAGAGAGGUGCCCAGAGUGGCCUGAAGGCCAGUGAAGGCUCCUGGCUUCCUUAUAUGGCCAUGUCAGUCAUGGUAUACUGAGGCUGAAUUCACAGAAUUUUCAUGAUAGAAGGUGAUCAGAUGACCAGUGCCCAAACCCACCAUGGACUGUUCAAAUCUACCAAUGAUCAUAGAUUCUCACGUAUUACUAAGAGUGCCAACUUACUCUCGGGACUUCAACCUGACUUUCACCAAUGGAGACAUAGGCCUCCAGUGAGAGUGUGUUCCAGAAUGAGCCUGGUUCUGCCAGUAUCUCUUGUGUGAUAGUAGUGAGUCUCUGCCCUUCAUGAAUCUUUAGCUUCUCCUUUUGUGAAGCUGACCACUGACCCACUAAGAGUUCUUCAGCUUACAGGGAUAUACAUUAUGUAUGUCAGCUAACUAUACAUCACCAGCUCUAGCACCAAAAGUGCGACACAAGCUAGCUUAUCCUUAGCACGGAAAGCUACUUUGUAAAUACUGUAGUUACAUUUGGGUUUCUCUUUCCAACAGAGAGCCUGCUUCCUAUCACUUGCAGGGCCAAAGGAAGGCAGAGUACAUAACUUACCCCUCUCCUUAAUCUGUCUGAAGGUAGGUGCUUGAGUUAGCAAGUCAGCCUAAUGAUGAUGGGACCAAAUGGUUGAAGCACACAGAGGCACCUGUAACUGCCAGAGGCACAGCCCUCUGAUCCCAUGUCCAACUUCCUCAGCAGAAUUAUGGGUGUUAAUCCCCCUGCUUGUACCUCUAUUUACUGGAGUCAGAACAGCUCACAAGCCCCCUUUCCAGCUACUUCAGGCUUUAGUCAGGACUUGUAGCCUUCCCCUGCUGCUACCAUACUCCAGAUCAUCCUGGAGCUCAGUACUCUUAAGUCUAAUGUUUUCUUGUUUAGGACAACAGUUAGGAUGCAGCUUGACCCAUUUGUAUCCCAUGGAAAAUCAGUACCUAGCAGUUUUUAAAGCUGUCGGGUCAAACAAGCAACAAUUUUAGGGGGUCUCCAGUCACAAAGAGAUACUUUAUACUUUUUCAAGUAGUUCUCCAAAUCAGGUAUAUGGCUGGAUACCUGUCUGCAUCUGCUGAAAUUUAUAUACAAACACAGGAAGAUACAUUCCCAAUGUAUCCCAAUAUAGCUGAUAUACAAGGAGAACUGUAGCUCAUAGACAUUAAGAAAACUGCCUUAGGGUUCUGCGAGCAGGAUUGGAUGACUCAAGCCUGCUAGGGUCUCCUGAAAGGCAGGGUCCAUAGCCAUUGUGAACCCACAGCAAAUGCAAGCUUCCCAGGGUUUCUUGGAAGACAGUGUUCUUAGCCAUUUCGAGCCCUAACCAGAUCAUCAGCAUAUGCAGAAAACUACAGAAACAGUAAGAGGAAAGGAAGGUGACUGAACUAGCUGGAGAACCAAUCAGGCCAUUGUUCCUCAGAGCCCUCAGGGUCAUCACAGAGGACAUUUUCCUAGAAACUGAUGUGUAUAUGUUGAAGCAAAGGCCUUACAGAGCCUGCAGAGCCAGCCAUGUGGAAGAACUUUGGGAGCUUGCAUACCCCAGCCCUCAGGACCUACUGGUAAACGGCAAUGAUAAUGAAAGGAUAACACACUCGCCAAAGAGAACAGCCUGAAAGCUGACCAGUUGAACAGAGGAGAGUCCAGAGACGAACAAUAUGCCAACAGUGAGCUGAUUUAUAGUGACACUGAUAUAGCAGGGCGGUGGGAGAAGGAUGGUGCUGUAUAAGCCUGGAUGUCCAAGUGGAGAAAAAAGCUUAUCUUGACCUUGACUUCACACAGGACACAAAAAUCAAUUCCAGAUGUACUGCAGAUCUACAUGUGAAAGGUGAGCUUUUAAAGCUUUAGAACAAACCAGAAUAUCUUUAUGACCUUGGAGUAGUCAAAGUUUCUUAAGUAGGACAUAAACAGCACUAUCCAGAGAGGAAAUGUUUGAUUAACUGGACCAUGUUAAAAUUAAGACCUUCUGUUCAUCAAAAGACACCAAGAAGGGGCAGGACAGCCCGCAAAUGGGGCAGUAUUUACAAUACAUGUAUCUGUGUAUCUGACAAAUGACUCACACUUUAGAACACCCAGGACAGAGAGAGAUAAAAUUGUGCCUGAAGAAGAACAGUUCUCAGUAUAAGAUAUAGAUGUCUUACGAACUAUAGAUGUGAAGAAAUGAGAAUAUAGAAUGGGGCUCAGCUUACUGCAAAUUACCGAUACCAUUUUGAUGCUACGAGAAGCCAGGAUGGCUAAAAAGGAAAUGGUGAAAAAUUCCAAGUGUGUGUGAGGAUGUGGAAAAAGGUGGAAUAUUCACAUGCUACCAAGCAGGGGUAAAAGUUGGGGUGACUGCCAUGGGAAAUGGCCGGUCCCUUAGUGACUCAGUAUUUCUAUCCUAAGCAUACAAUUAGCCGAGAUAGCCAUAACUUCACCAAACACAUAUGUAGAAUGUUCUUAGUAAUUCACUACCAAGACCUUGCCAAUGGUCAUGGGUAGUAGAAUGAAUGAGCAAAUCACAGGCUACACAGAGCAGGGUGCCAACAAUCAAAAGGAUCCCGAGAUCACUGUAUUCUUCAGCCUCACAGAGGGGUUCUCAGACAUCAGAGUGAAUGAAAGUGCCAGAUACACGAAUGGAUGUGUGUGAUAUAGCCAUGUAGAUUUCAAAUAUAGGCAAAGAUGCUGGAAAGAGAGCUUUGGUUGUUCUUGGUGUGUCAGUGAUAGGAAAUGGAAUCCAGGGGACUUCCUGGGGAUUCGAUUUCUUUCUUUGAAUGUUUAGCUCUCACGUAGGGAGAAUGUAUUAAGUUUGUACUGGAAACCUGUGUACUUUACUCUUUUGGUGUGUUUCCUUUCUACUAUAUGUAAGUUUAUAACAAUGCCCUGUAGAAGAUGGUAUUUUCUGAGCUUUACUGGAGAUAUAAUUAGGUACAAGCCCAGGCGGACUGGCCUUGCUGCCACCUUGUUUCAAAGGAUAAAUUACUCCAGUACCCUGACGAGUAGCCCCUAUAGUUCAGUUUCCACUCCCAGCUCUAGGCAAAGUACACAGGAGAUUUGUUUUUUUUGGGGGGGGGGCUCUCUUUGUUUUUCGGAGUACCUUUCUUUUAUGGUAUCAAUGUAGUAUGUCCCGCACAUUACUCUCCCUGGCCUCUCCCUCAGAACAAUUCUAGGAGGUUGCUGCAUCCCUUUUCAUGUGCUUAGAUGAAGGAAGUGAAACUAGGAAAGGUUAGGGGCACUGGGGGCUGCCUGUAGCUGGGCCAGUGCAGGCUGGGAGCCAGAUUGAGGGCAUUCGAUUCCAGUCCCUCUCUUUCCCACUGAACCACUCCGCCUCGCUUUUAAUUUAAUUAGGAGAACAUUUAAUCCCCCGUGCAUUUCAGAGACGGGUUUGAGCCUGGCCGGGGCCUUGUGGGGCUCUGACAGGGAUCCUGUGACUCAUACAGCCUUGCACAGCCCUCCCGGGAGGGCUCCCUUGGGGCUUCUUUGGCACCUUGUGCAGACAGAGGUGGUCUGGAGAUUCACAGAGGACAGGACACUAGUCUAGGAAGACAAACUGGUCUCAUCUGUUCUUGACAAGCCCCCUUCCCUAUACUCCUGGACACUGCCCCCCAACAUGGCCCCUUCGUUUUCUUCCAUCAUCAUUUGCAGGUGAGGAGCCAAAUAAGAAAUGGGUGCUCACUGAGGUGCCACAGCAGGCCCUGAUUGUCUCCAGGCCCUGAAUAUCCCAGGCAAAGCAUUCCCAUCAGAAGAGCUAGCCCCUUGGUCCACUAAUGCUCCCCUUUCCAGAAGGCAUAGGCUGGCCCCAGCCUCGCUGACAAAUGCAGAAUUCAGGAGACAUUAGUAGUGAUGUGGACAAAAGCCAGGCCACAGCGGGCCUCCCUGGAAAAGAGAAACUUGAACGUCUUGGCGUGAGAUUCUGCAGGGUCCAGGAGAAAGUUGAAGACAUGGAAAUUCUAAUUAACGCACGCGGGGCUGCUUUUGCUCAAAGAUUUUUGAAGCUGUCAUGUCACAAGAGGCCCGGCAAGCACAUGCUCGCCCGGGAGGUGCUUUUGGGCACCUGGUGGGAUUCUUGCAAUGCCCUAGCCUGUAUUCUUACUUUCCCUCUGUCCUCUAGACUUUCCUCUACCCAUCUUGGUGAACUGGGUGGCCCCUGAAUGUCAAUCCCAGAGUGGGAUGACAGGCUGGUUAGUAAAUGUUGAGACUUCCAGUUGAAAAUGUCACAACCAAAAAGUCAGAGGGCUCAGGAACCAACCUCUUUGGAAGAAACCUUCAGGGAAAUCACAUGGCAAAGCCAGGCUGAGCUAUAGGCUGCCGUGCUUAUGGUAGGCUUGGCCUUUGGAGAUGUUCAUCUUGGAUAUCCUGUGCAACAGAUGGGGCAACAGUUCCAGACAAGUUCUGAUGGGUUCGUCAGCUGGAGGGUGGGGUGAAGUGGCUGUAGGAGAAGCUCACUGAAGUCAAACCCAGAAAUGCUUCUUUAGCUUUGAGCUAUAGGUGCUCAUGUUCUGGGCCCUAUGUCUCAACAUCUAUGGGAGGUACCUGGAGACCUUGCUUCAUUUUAGGCAAGGCUAAUCAUGUGCUUUCUGUGUCAGAGUAGGGUUCUUUCAUCCUGGAAUUUUGGGGAAUGCUAGAAAAGGAGUGGCCAUGAACAGCCACAACACUCUGCGCCUUGCCUGACCCAGGCUAGAAUCAGGGAGCCUUGACGAUAGCCUCAAGAGGAUGUGAGAGGCAUCACUGGGGAAAGGGAGGGACUGAGUAGACACUGGAAAGUUGUGUGCAAUUCUGAUGACCACAGGACUGACAAGGGCAUUCCAGCUGGUGGGAUACACACGAGCCCUUGUCAGCUAACCCCAGUAUGCAGAAUCCUGGAGACCUGUCCUAACUAUUAGCUGUAAAGAUAACCCCCCAUCUCUUGUGGCAGUAGGUCUCGAUUUCCUACGUGGUCCUCAGAAGCCUGGAACAAAGCUUUGGACAGAGGAUUCAUAUUGAAGGAGCUUGAGGAGUAUGGGGCUCUCUUCCAAUGAUGUUAGAACCAGGAAGACAGCAUCUGACUGAAAUAUGUAUGAAAGGCUGAGGCGCAGCUGCCCAGAGCUGGACAAGGCCUAGGGCUUACGUGAGGAGCUGCUGGUGUGUGCCUGUUGAGCUGGGGUCAGAGAGGCUAUAUUGUGUCCUCAGCAUCCUUCCCUGUUUACCAGCAGCAAUCUGGUUUUUAAUAGGCCUGCCUGCACCUUGGCCUCUCUGUCCCCAAACUAUCAGUGGCCAACAGGCUCUGAAAAGAGAAGCUUCACCCAGCCCCAGGGACCUUCCCAUAAUCAAGGCUACAGUGACCUCACCUCCCUAGGGCCCCUGGGCGGGGAGAGCUUGAGAUGGAAACAAAAUGUGUCUUUAUUUAUGCUUUUAAUUUGAAUUCUGGAACUGGCCCAGCAUGGUAAUACAUUUAACAUCAGUAAAAUGUUGAAGAAAAAUGGAUCUGUUUUUCUGCAACUGCUUCCCACCCACUCUGCCCCCUGCAAGACCCUAGUACAUAUCUCUGUCUUUGGUAGACACGUAUCAGGGUGUGUGCCUCUUUUUUCGGUAUAGGUUCAUGGGGCUAGUUGCCCACGGGAGCCAUGCUGCAUCAGUGAGCUGCUGGAGCCUAGCUUAAUUACGGACAUCAAUCAACAGGCUGACUGUGCAAGAGGCAAAGGAAUGCAGCUCUGGUGUGGGCAUGUGGGCCCCUUACACAGUACCCACUAAGGCCUAUCUGCUCUCCUAGAAUGGGGAGGGGUCUUGGUAAGGGCAGUAGUCCUGGGAGCACAUAGGGUUCUAGGACCCAGACACACCUCUUUGCUAGGACUUCCAGCAAGGAUGCCACUAGACUUCUACAGAUGUGGAUGUCUAGAUUCUUAGAUGCCUCAACCUUGACCCCAACUCUGCUUUGACCAGAUCAUAUUUUUUUGCUUAAGCCUGUGAUCUAUCUCAGUCUCUACCUUAGGUCUUUUCACUCAGCACUACCAUGGGCUCCUUCUUUCCCACCUUCCCACCUUCCUUGGUUGGCUCAUUCCUAGCUGCUGCAUUUGGAAUACAUUGGCCUAGAAAGGGUCUUGGUGUGUUCCUGGGUAGAGCCUUGACUGUAUAAAGACUGUCCACCUACUCAGGUUUCAGGAGUGCUGGCCUGAGAAGAGCUCUGGUACCUGGAAAGAUGGUGACAGACUAGGUCUUAUAGCAGCCAAGAAAGCAUCAUUCAUGCCUCUGAGGCUCUGUUACCUCAUUGUGGAUCAGAAUUGGCCUAGUACUCUGAGCGGUGUUGUCUUAUUGGCUUAGGGCUGCUUCUGGAACAGAUAGACAGUGAAUGUCUGGCCACAGGAGGUUUGAGUAUACUAAUACCAGCACAGGUGGCUUUUUGUUCCCAAAGGUGUGGUUUCUAGGGCAUCUGUGGACUGAACUAUGGGCAUGUAUCACCAGUCUCCACCCUCACUUGGGACCCCGUUAGUGCUUUUACUUCAGAAAACUCAACAGUAGGUAGAAGAUGCGAGACACAUCUGUCCAUCUCGGUAGAUGGUUUCUUGAGAGAGAGCACUACUCUCUUGGUGCUGCAGCUGCUUUUGUAUCUGGAGGCUGCUCCAUGGCCAGAAGAAUAAAACAGAGUGGGUACCAAUGAGAGGUGAGUGACUGGGGGGAUAAGGAGGCUGACUAGCCUUUCCAGGCUUAGGCGAUUCCCUGGGGCCUGCUGUGGUUGCCAUGGUGCUCCUUACUAUCCCUACCCCUAAGCAGGCACUGGCAUAUCGCAUACAACCCUAGCCACCAGACACCAGCGUUUACACUUGGAGUUGUCUCGUGUUCUGGACUUGAUGGAGAGACUUAACCAUAGCGUACCCUCUGACACCAGCCUAUACCUGCCUAGCCUGUCUGGACUCCUACUCACAACCUCUGUUCCUGCCUACUAAUGUAGCCAGCCUGUAAGGCUAUCUUAGGAGGGAGAGUGACCCCCUGCUUCUCAGUAAGGUUCUGGCUCUCUCUGAACCCAUGAACCCUCUCUACAUCUUACAAACUAUGAGACACUGCUAACCUCCUUUGAGUUUGGAUGGCUUGGGAAGAUAGUGGGCAUGCCUUGUUUGAUCAUUAUCAUUCCUCUGACAAGCCUGCCUUCCUUCCCCCAGGGUGGCCUCAACUUGGCUAUCUGGUUACUUAAGAAGCCCUCAGCACUGUGAGUCCCAGUUUCUUCAGUCAAUGUAAAGUCAAGCCUGAAAUCUAGGCAUAGGCCAGAAGCAUUAUGACCAAGCACACAAGGUUAAGGACAUAAAUUUUAGUAGAAAGAGUAGAAGUGUCUCAGCAUGUGAAUCUCAGGAGAGCUAAGAGAAUGGCAUUAACAUCCUAACACAAAGACACUUUUCCAGGGGAGUACCCAGUGGAGCAGUGGUCAGAAGGGGUCUGCAUGACCUGCCCCUACUACAUCUCUGCCUCUACUGGGUUUUUGUAGGAACAUAUGAGUCACAUGUUGCAGAGAAAUCAUGGCAUGGCUGAGUACUGGGGAUUGGCCUGGUGAUGCCGUGAUGGGGGCCCAAAUUGGGGGUGGGGGGGAGAGGAUGGGCAUUUGUCCCAGGCCAGCUGUGCUUCAGAAGAAGGCCAACUGGAAGGCAUAGAAAAUCAGCCAUUUCCUCCACCUGAAGGAGCCCCUGAGGACAGUAGUGGCAACUGGCAGGCGGCACCCGGCAUCUGCCCCAUGGCUUUGGCCAAAGUUCCACAGGGAAAUGCUAGAAAAUAAAGUUAACUCUCUUGAAGGAGUGGUGGAGGGGUUUAGGGGAGGGAAAAAAAAAAAAACAACCGAGUUUCUCAGACGCUCAAAGCAUGCAAACAAGUGGAAAAUGAUCAGUCUGGUUUUCCAUAAGUCAAAACAAGAGGAUCAUGUUUCCAAAUUCGGUGGGAAAGCCCCUGCCCUUCUCUCCUGCCUGAGCCCUGAGGCCAGCCCUAGCAGCCAGUGUCCCCAGGUUCAUAAGGACAGGCAGUGAGUUCUGGGUACUGGGUAAAUAGACUGCAUCCCAGCAAGAGUUCAAGCUUUGCCCUAUGCUAGGGCAAUACCCUUGAACCCCAGCCUUGGUGGGCAAAUGAACACUCACUGUGACACAUGGGUGAUGGGGGUCAGCAGUGUCUCCCCUUCCAGGUCCAGGUCCUCAGCAAAGCUGUUUGUUCUCAAGAAAUGGGGUGUGCUUACUUCCAGCAGUGUAGGGCUCUUCCUUACUGUGAAGAAGGUAUGGGACAGCUCAUUAGGCUUCAGUAGAAACUUGAUCAUGAAGGGGCUCCAGAACGGGACAGAACUAGACUCAAAUGUCCACCCCAACCUGAUAAUGCUAUGGGAUAAACCUAUGAGCUCUCAAGACCAGGUGAAGAGUGAGGACAGAGCUUACAAGUUUCAGCCUUACGCAUCAGGUUGGUUUACGCUGAGUGGAACAAGUGAAUGGGCAUUCAAAUUGGUCCCCAGGUACCCAGGGGCUCAGCCUCCCAAGGUAAAUCAUAAAGGCUGGUACAUUCUCCCCAGUGUGGUAGAUGCCCUACGGCUGAGUUCCAGAACUGAGUGAGGUCCUCCACUAUGUUAGGUUUUGGGCCUCUCACCAGCUUCACAUAAAACAUUUGUGCCAAGAACAAAUGAAAGCACUAAUCCCCAGUACUGUGCUAUUCACACACAUACACUGACAGAUGAGUGGGCCAGGCAACAAAGGGUGCUAGUACCUCUGCCUACCAGGAAUCACAAGCUGAGUUCCUUGUUCUGGCUGCGAUGCCAUAUUAGCCAGAUUCUCUAUGAGGGAGGCCUCCAGACCAUCCCAAUAGCUGACUUCCAUAGCUCAGGAGACUGAUCCAGAUCAGUCUUCACAGUACUUCCAGCUUAGUAGUGUUUGCUCUCAACUUACUUCUCCUUUAAAGUGUUUAAUGUAGAAGUAUUAAGUACUUCUGAUGAGUGGAAUAUUGAAAAAUUCACAAUUUUUGGUCCUCAAUUAUAGUAGUCAUCUGCUGGCCGGGUCCCUGCCUUAUGCCUGGGUAGCAUCAUGGGUAGCACAAAUGUGAUGUCAUAAACUCAGACAAACUUCUGUUCUUGUCAGUUUUUCUUAUUCUGUGACAUUCUUUUCUUCAGGUCUGCAGCUAUGCAUCUAAUGAUCAUUUUAGCAGCACGAGCUCAUAGCUUAGGUCUACCACAAUUAACUUACUCAUCCCAUAUUUUAUGGACAUUCAGUCUUGUAGUUUUAUGACAAUCAGACAGUGAUGUAAUAUCCAUCUUUAUUGUUAAAAGUUGCUGACACACUGGGCAGGUGAGAUGGCGUGACUUUGGUAAUAUUAAUAAGUGCUUUUGGAUUAUUCUUCUGUUAAGUUGUAGCCAACUAUUCUUUCCCUUCAAUUUUGCCUGGCCUUUCAAGCAUGGAUAAAAACUGAGGUUUUCUCAUUUUCAUACUGUUUUUAGUUCUUUAAGAAAAUGAUCAAUGAACUUUGAUCCCCACCCCCUUCCUAACUUCCCAAUUUUGUAUCCGCUUGUUUUAAAAUUUAAUAAUCCAUUAACUUCAGUUUGUGGUCUCUGUGUCCUUCUGGGUGUGGACUGUAUAUGGAGUAUGAUUGGCCCACCAGGAGUUAGAUGGUAAGGAAAAACUGACUCUCCCUCCCCAGGAGCCAUUAUCUGUCCGUAGCUUAUCAAGAACCUCUUGGGGUUCAUGAACUUCUUGUACUCAGUGAUACAGGGUUGACUGGCCUGAUCUUGUGUAGGCAAUCAUGCAGCUGUCCUAUCACACCCAGAAGUUAGUUUGUUCUCCUAUUGCUGGCUCAUAUAGUGUCCCUCUACCACCACCUCCUUUUACAAUGGCCCCGGGCCUGGGGUAGGGGAUGGCUUUCUCAUUUUCAUCUUCACUGACUGUUUCUGGCUUGUUUGGGAUUCUUCUUGCAGAAUUGCCCAUUCAUAACCUUUGCUUAGCAUUUCAAAGGAACUUUUAAUUCAUUAGAGAUAAUAACCUUGUGAUACACGAAGCAUAAAUAACUUUCUUAGUCUAUGUUUGGCUUUUUAACACUGAGUUGUUUUAUCAUAAAGACUGUCUUGCUUUUUUAUAGUGAUACAUUUACUUUAUGGAAUGGGUUUCCCACAUCUACAACAACAGUCUUUUACAUUUAUUUCCAAUAUAAACAUACAAAUAUGGGCAUAGAUCUGUAUGUGCGUAUAAAUUUUAACACAUUUAGCAUCUGUGUGUAAUGCAAAGGAUGUUUAGCAGUCAUAAAAUGGAAAUUCAAGAACACUAUAUAUAGUCUUACUUUUUAAAAAAAUCUGAAAUAGAACAUAAAACUAAAAAAAAAAUUAAGAAAACUUCAAAAUCUCUAAGACUUUAGAUUUGAAAGUGAAUUGAGAUACAACAUCAAAAAUGUAAUCCAAAAGGGGGGGGGAGGAUCAACUUUAUUAUAAUUAGAAACAAAUGAGUUAUUCCUGCAACAAGUGCAUUUUGCUAAAUAGCAACAGAAGCAAGGAAAAACAGGUUAACUGACUGUUAAAAUGCUUUGCUUUGUGAAGACAAUGAGACAAAUCACAGAUUUACUGCACGUCACUUAUGGAAUCAAGGACAUCGUACCCAGAGUAUAUAAAGAAGAAUGAUCAUAAUUUGACAACAGUGGAGCAAACAACCCAUCUUAAAAAGUGGAUUACAAAUAAGCAUGUGAAAUUGUAUACAGCCAAUCCAUGGUCUUUAUGGAAAUACGAUAUUAAAGCUUCAGUGAGCUAACCCUGAAAAUUAUCAUGAAGAUGGAUAAAGCAUAAAAUUAAAAUCUUGUAAACAGCAAGCCCUCCAAGGAGGUAGAGUCCGCAACCUUCAUGUGCUAGAGGUGGGAAUGCAAAGUGGCCCAACUGCUCUGAAGAACAAAUUUCAUAGUCUUAAACACACAUAUGGUCUAUGACUCAGGGUAUGGAAUAUUUAAGUUCACACAAAUCUGCACACAAAGAUAUACGGCAAUUUCACCUCUAGUUGCAACAAACAAGUUAUAACCAAGAUGCCAACAGUUAAAUGAAUAAAGUAAUCAUGGUGUCUCUGUUCCACCUAUGCAGUGGAAUCCAGCAACCAACUGGAAUACUGGAGGUCCCUGGGACAGAUAAUAGACUACGGUGAGUAGAUUGUGUGUUGCAAAUACAUGAUAGAGCACUGAAAAGAGAAGAUGUGUGUGUGUGUGUGGGGGGGGACUGGCUAAAGUUGAUUUUAAAAAUAAUGUUUGGACUAAAGAAAAACUAAAAGCUGGAGAAAAAAUACUGACAUAAACACAAUAUUCUUGUAGAUGAUUUUGUUUCCUACAGGGGUUCUACAUAUUGAGGAUUAUACAAACCAGUAUCUAUACUAGAAAAUGGGAGCUGAGGACAAAGUAAGGAUAAUCGGAAACAGUAUAAACAGUAUAAACUCAAGCAGGUAUCACAUUCCAAACAACCUAAUCACCAGUAAUUAAUGCUGUAUAUGUAAGACAAUACAGUAUGCAACAUUAAUAUGCCAAAUCCAAGAAUAUCACAACUCUCCAGUGUUGUGGGACAUUAAAAACUAAGGUAAGUGAUCACAAGCAUGAUCAUAUCACCAGACAGAAAUAUACAUCUGACAAAAAUCUUGACCAACUCAUGGUAAGACCAACUACUCUGGAACAUUAAACCUCAGGUAAGUAACCACAAGAAAUAAAAAGAACUUUCAUGAUUAUAUCACUGAAUACAAAUGAGUCUGAUAAAAUUCUCUACUGACACAUGAUUUAAAAAACACCCUUGGAACAUUAACAACACAGGUAAGUAAUCACAAGAUGAAAAAAUGUUAUAUGACAUGAUUUUAUCACUGAAUACAAUAAUUCAUCUGACAAAAUUCUUUAUUAACUUAUGCUGUUUAGAAAGCCCUUUCGAACACUAAAAACUCAGGUAAGUAAUCACAAGAAGCAAAAAAAGUUACAUGAUUAUAUUAUUGUAAUGCAUCUGAAAAAAUUCUUUACCCAUUUUAAAAAGACCCUCUAGAUCAUUAAAAUCUCAGGUAAAUAAAUGCAAGAAGCAAAAAGAUGGUACAUGACACUAGACACAAAAAUUUGACAACAUUCUUUACCAACUCAUGAUCAAAACAAAAAACCAAAAGCAUUAAAAUCUUAGGUAAGUAAUCAUAAGAAGCCAAAAGAAGUUACAUGAUUACAUCACUGGAUACAAUUGCCAACUCAGGAACAACUCUGCACAUUAAAAACUCAGGUUAGUAAUCAUAAGGUACAAGAAGCAAAAAAAGAAGAAAAGUUACAUGAUUAUAUCACUAGACACAAAAACUCUGACAACAGUAUUCACUAACUCAUGAUAAAAGCAAACAAGAAAACUUCUGGAACAUUAAAACAUUAAAUGCUCACGAGAAGCAAAAAUAAGUUACAUAUCACAGGACACAAAAGUACAUCUGACAAAAUUCUUUAUCAACUUAUGACUUUAAAAAAAGAAAAACAACUCAGGAUCAUUAAAAACUCAGGUAAGUGAUCACAAGACACAAGAAGCAAGAAAGAAGUUACAGAAAUCUGAAAACAUUCUUUACCAACUCAUAAUACAUAACAAAAGCAAAACAAACACACAAACAAACAAGCAAAACAAACCCUCUGGAAUAUUAAAAACUCUGGUAAGUGAUCAUAAGACACAAGAAGGAAAAAUGAAAUUACAUGAUUAUUUCAUCAGACACAGAAACCUGACAUUCUUUAUCAACUCAUAAUUCAAAACAGAAAACAAGCACACACAAAACAUCUGGAACAUCAAAAACUCAGGUUUUUGAUCACAUGAAGCAAAAAGAAGUUGCAUGAUUGUAUUACUGGACACAAAAAUGCAUCUGACAAAAUUCCCUAUCAACUUAAGAUAAAAUAAAACAACUGGAACAUUAAAAACUCAGGUAAGUGAUCACAAGAUACAAGAAGAAAAAAUGUUACAUGAUUACCUUACUAGACACAGAAGCCUGACAAUAUUCUUUACCAACUCAUUAUACAAAACAGAAACAAAACAAACACCAAACCUCUAGAAUAUUAAAAAAAAUAAUCAGGUAAGUGAUUACAAGAAGUUAUAUGAUUAUAUCAGUGGACACAAGCAUGUAUCUGACAAUUUAUUUUUAAUAACUCAUAAUUAAUGAAAAAAAAGAAAAGAAAAUCCAAACAACUCCAGAACAUUAAAAACAAGUUACAUGAUUAUUAUACUAGACAGAGAAAUCUGACCAUAUUUUUUAUCAACUCAUAAUAUAAAAAAGAAACAAGGAAUGGAGAAAUGGCUCAGUUGGUUAAGAGCAGUGACUGCUCUCUUAGAGGUCCUGAGUUCAAUUCCCAGCAACUACAUAGUGGCUUACAACCACCUGUCAUCCAGUGCUCUCUCCUGGUAUGUCUGAAAAGAGUAACAGUAUACUCAUACAUAAAGUAAACAAAUCUUUUAAAAACCGCAAAUAAAAUACAGAAAUCCUCUGGAACAUUAAAAAGGUAAGUAAUCACAAGACACAAAAAGCAAAAAUGAACUUACAUGAUCAUUUCCCUAGACACAGAAACCUGACAACAUUUUCUAUUUACUCACAGCACAAAACAGAAACAAAAAAACAAACCUCUGGAACAUUAAAAAAAAAACCAGGUAAGUGAUCACAUGAAGCAAAAAGAAGUUACAUAGUUAUAUCAAUGGACACAAGCAUGCAUCUGACAAAAGGUUUUAAUCAACUCAUGAUUAAAAAAAACCAAGAACAUUGGAACAUUAAAAUCUUAGAUAAGUGAUCACAAAACACGAUAAGCAAAAGAGUUACAUGAUUAUUUCACUAGAUGCAGAAAUCUGACAACAUUCAUUACCAUCUAAUAAUACAAAACAGAAACAAAAAAAAACCCACACAAACCCUUCGAACACUAAAAACUUUUAAGUGAUCACAAGAUACAAGAAGCAAAAAAGAAAUUACAUGCUUAUUUCACUAGACAAACCUGACAACAUUCUUUACCAACUCAUAAUACAAAACAAGCACGCAAAACAUCUAGAAUAUUAAAACCUCAGGUAAGUGAUCACAAGAAGCAAAAAAGUUGCAUGAUUAUAUCACUGGAUACAAAAGUGCAUCUGACAAAAUUCCCUAUCAACUCAAAAGAAAAAAAAAUCACUAAAGUUUGGUAAAUAACACUUACCAAACAUAAUUGGCAGAAGAAAAAGGCAAGGAUGGUGCUCACCCAGUUUUCAAAAUCUUCUGGAAACAUCCUAAUAGACCAAAAUGAAUGGAACAUAAACUUUAUUUAAAAGGAGCUAAGGUUUUGUUUUAGGUGGCAUUAUUGAUGUAGAUAACAUGAAAGGACACAUAUGUAAAUUUUGUAACUAAUAGCGGCCGCAGCUAGGUUUUAUGACAUUAAGUUAAUAUACAAAACGCAGUCACUUUCCUAUAUGCCAAAAUUUAAUGAGUGGAAUUUGGAACAAAGUACAUUAUUGCAUUGGUAUCAACAGACUAAACAUAGAUAAAAAUAAGUACAGUAUAUUUUCAAUAUUCAAUAUAUUAAAAAAUUCAGUACUGCCAGAUAACCAAUAAUCCAUGCUGAUCCCUACAUUAAAUGCAACCAUAAGCAAACACUAAUAUGUUUUAUCAGUAUUGGAAAAUGGACUAUAAGGCUUCUAUGGAGGAAAAAUGUAGAAUAUGAAACAUAAUAUGAAAUUGACCCAUUUUAAUGCAUUGCUGUAAAGCUUCAGGGAUACAGAAACUAUAUAACCUAUAAAAUAGGUAAUGCAGAUAAAAGGAAAAGGAAAUAGCAUGCCAGAGUCAUCUAAGUUCACAUAAGGGAACAAAAAUAAGAAUGGAGUAGAUAUGUUUUUUCAACAAAUGGUGAUAAAAUAAUGGAUAUCCACAUGGAAAAUGUGAGAAUCUAGAUACAGACUUUGCACCCAAUAAAUAAAAAAUAAGUGAGAAUGGAUCACAGACAAAGAACAUAUUGUAAAAGUAGAAGAGAAUAGAAAACUUCACAUAAUACAGAGCAAAAAAAAAAAAAAAAAAUCCAAACCUUUCAGUGAAGUACUAAGUCAUUUUUAAUUUCUUUUGAUAUUAAGAACAAAACAUGUCAAACUUUUGCCAUUUCUAUUCAACAUAAUGGUGAGUGGUUUAACUGGAUCAAAUGGUUUAGCUAGACAAAUAGAACACAUGCAAAUUGAAAAGGAAGUAAUAAACAUCUGAUCACAUAGGUAGAAAAAGCAAGAUUCCUCAUAAGAUUGUAUAUGGUAAAUUCACCAAAGUAUCAGUGCAACAGAAUAUCAGUAUACAAGUUUCAUACAUACAUUUCUAUUCAUCAAAAGUGGCACUCAAGAGUAGCAUUGACAUGGUUUCUUUUGUGGCAGCACUAUAGAAUCCACAGCUUUGGUGGCUGAGUAACUUUGUAAUUUUUCUUGAUUUCUUAGCUGAUAAAUCUGAAAGGAGACUACAUUGUUUUGCCCUUCCUACAAUGGGAACCACUGUAUCUAACUGAAUCUUGAUUCUUGCACUUAAAAUAGGUCUUAGCUCAUUCAAAUCAGACUGUAGAUCCAAUGGAUGUAUGCCAAAAUCAAAGAACACUGUCCUAAUAUAAUCAGAAAUAGUAAAAAUCUAAAGAAAGCAUGGAUGAUAUCCAUUUAGUAAAAGAAUUUGGCAAAAUGCUUUUAAGCCAUGAGGACCUGAGGGUGAGCCCUUGAUCUCAUGUGAAAAUAUUGUGUAUAUUAGAUGUUUGCAGUCCCAAUGCUGAAAUCGUAGGAAGUGAAUCCAAAGAGCUUAGUGAUUAGUGAUUUGCCAGUCUGGCCUAUUUAGUGACCCAAGUAGAAACUAAAUGGAGUUGGGAAGCAUUUCUGGCUAAUAAAGUAGAGGUUGUUCUCUGACUUAGAACACAUGCAUAUGUACAUAUAUCUUUGGGCAUAAAGAACAAGGUCAUUAUCAAAGAAAUACAGGUCAUGUUCCAAUAACUGAUCCAAAAAAUAAAACAAAUAGAACCAACUUAAAGAAAAGAACCAAAAAAACCAAAACACAAAGUUCCCCAGGCAUAUUAAGUUACUGACUAUUUAAAAUGAGUUAAGAAUAGUCAAACAAUGCUGUGCCGUGGUGGCACACACCUUUAAUCCCAGCACCUGAGAGGCAGAGGCAGGCGGGUUUCUGAGUUCAAGGCCAGCCUGGUCUACAGUAUGAGUUCCAGGACAGGCAGAGCUACAGAGAAACCCUGUCUUGAAAAACCAAAAACAAAAGAAAACAAUAACAAAACCAAAAAGGAAACAAUACAUGAAUGAAUGAGUUUCAAUAAAGCUAUGGAAAGUAAAGCCAAAUUAAUUCUGGAGUUGAAGAUUACAUUGAGAGGAAAAUUAUAAGACUGACUUAAAACCAGAUUGUUCAAUUAAAACUGGAAUCUUUGACCUUGAAAAGGGGACAUUUCAACCAAAUGGAUUUAACAGAUAUCUACAGAACAUUUCAUCUCAAAACAAAAGGAUAUACCUUUUCAGCAAACCAUGAACCUUCUCCAAAAUUGACCAUAUAAUCAGUCACAAAAAGCCUCAGUGGAUACAAGAACAUAGAAAUAAUUGCAUGCAUUCUACCAGAUGACUGACUAAGACUGGACUGCAAUCACAACAAAAACAAAGAAAAGCCCACAUAGUCAUGGAAACUGAACAACUCAAUGAUAACUUGGAGCUGAAAGAAACAAAGGAAUUAAAAGCUUUCUAGAAUCCAGCAAAAAUGAAAAUACAGCAUACCCAGACUUAUGGGACACAAUGAAAGCAGUUUUAAGAGGAAAAUUCAUAGCACUAAGUGCCUUCAUAAAGAAACUGAACUGAUCCUGUAAUAGCAACUUCCUAGCAUACCUGAAAGCUCUAAAACAAAAAGAAACACACCAAAAAGGAGUAGAUGGCAGGAAACAGCCAAACUCAAAAUAGAAAUUGACAAAUUAGCAGCAAAGAAAAUACAAAGAUUCAACAAAACCAAGAGAUGGUUCUUUGAAAAACAAUAUAGAUAAAUUCUUAAGCCAUACUAACUAAAGGGCACAGAGUCAGUAUCCAUAUUGACAAAACCAGAAAUGUAAAAGGGAUCAUAACAGCAACUGAGGAAAUUCAAAGAUAUCAUCAGUUCUUACUACAAAAGCCUAUACUCAACAAAACUAGAAAAUUUAGAUGGAAUGGAUGGAUUUCUAGAAAGAUAUCUAAACCUAAACUCCUAAGAUCCUUAAUCCCUAAGGAAAUAGAAGCAGUCAUUAAAAA
Mastomys coucha (southern multimammate mouse) is the source of this 44915-nucleotide long non-coding RNA. RefSeq lists it as uncharacterized. The transcript has 2 exons. The record is from RefSeq and is a predicted model, not a curated record. Lineage: Eukaryota; Metazoa; Chordata; Mammalia; Rodentia; Muridae.